This 58415-nucleotide long non-coding RNA is filed under the name Eucalyptus grandis. RNAcentral's name for it is "long non-coding RNA (EGRA_LNC001230)". Lineage: Eukaryota; Viridiplantae; Streptophyta; Magnoliopsida; Myrtales; Myrtaceae. The record is from RNAcentral.
AACCAAAUGGGGAGAGAAUUGGGGGAGGGAGAGACAAGUAGGCGAUGGGAGAUGGGCAAUGGUGCUCGAUUCCUAAUUUUAAAGCAAUAUAGAUAUUGGAGUAAGUUGAUCUCAAAAUUUUUCGAGUAUGUGUGUGAAGAAGUGAGUUAAUUACUUUUAGUUAAAAUAAAGUGAUAAAGUUUGAAAGAAGAAAAUAAAAUCUUAAUGGAUUUGUUUAUCCAUAAGUUUAUGGCAGGUAAUAUGGUACGAGUACAUGAAUUUCUUUCAAGUCACUUGAUGUCUCGGGUAUAUGCUCAUGUUGACUUCCAUUAAUAUUUUAUCAAGCUGAAGUUACAAGUUUCAUCAAAUUGACACAUCAAAUUUUUUUAUUCCAGAGAGUAGGUGGUGAAGUUACGUACGACCGACUGGGGUCUUUGUUUAAUGUUUUCUUUUGGGCUAACUUGCUAGAGUAAGUCCUCAUCAUAUAUAUUAAUCACAACGGUGAAGAAAAACUGUAGAGUUGGCACGAAAAGGACUUCCUAGCGUCAUCAAAUUAACGUCCAUCAAUUUUAUAUCCUAAAGAGUAGGUACUGAAGUCAUGUAUGACCAUGAUCAAUUGGAGUAUUCCUUUAGUGUUUUCUUUUGGGCUAACUUCCAUGAGUAGGUUCUUAUCUCGUAUAUUAAUCACGACAACGAAGAAAAAUUGUAGAGUUGGCACGAAAAGGACUUCCCGGCGACAUCAAAUUGACGUCCAUCAAUUUUAUACCCUAAAGAGUAGGUACUGGAUUUAUGUAUGACCAUGACUAAUUGAAGUCUUUCUUUAAUGUUUUCUUUUGGGCUAACUUCCAAGUGACGUUCGGUGGCCAUUAAAUAAUUUCCAAGUAGAAGAACGGCAUCUUUCAAGGAAUUCUCAUCGUCAUUAUUUGUGUUUCUGUUGACUGAUUCGAUUGAUCCCAUUUAUUCCAGGAAACCCGAGCUAGCUCCCAGCAGGUCAUUUCCUUUAUGACAUCUCUCUUCCUCCCGCAAAAUCUCACUUUAAAGUCUUCAAUUUUACAUGGCUCUUUUCUCUCACAAAUUGUAUCUCUAACCGAUAUGUGGNNNNNNNNNNNNNNNNNNNNNNNNNNNNNNNNNNNNNNNNNNNNNNNNNNNNNNNNNNNNNNNNNNNNNNNNNNNNNNNNNNNNNNNNNNNNNNNNNNNNAAGUUGCCGUUACGUCCUCAGUAAUCUAUUGAGUUAGGUAAAUUCGGCAUUUAGUCAAAACAGAUAGUAAAAAUAGAAGUGUUCCAAGAUUUUGUUAAAAAUGAAGCAUGCAUAUAGAAUUUCAGAAGGGGCUAUUUCAAAAUGGGUCCCUAUAGUCAUGAUGAAAGUAAAAUUCUUCAAUUUGAAUCAGAUCAAUUUAAUUUCUCAGUCGUUGUCAUCUUGUGAUCCUCAGUCCGCUCCCUCGACGUCUGCUCCCUACUGGAUUAUCUGGCGGCGGUUAUAUCUUGGUGCUAAAUGCAGCCAAAACACAUGAGCUGAUCGUGUGGGUUGGCAAGGCAGGAACGUUUACCGUUCAUACUGUUGUCUUUUAGGAAAAUUAAACGGUCUAUACUUAUAUUACUACUAUACUAGCCUAUAGAUCCGUGCUACACAUGGGAAAAAGACUUGUGGAAUAGAUUAUUGGAAAUAAUUAUUCUACAAGUACAUUGAAUCAACGUGAGAAUAAGAGAUACUCGUAAUAUUAAAAGUGAUUAUUCUAGGAAAAUUAUAGUUCAAUUAAAGUAGAAAAAUGAAAGAAAUUUUUUUUCAAAAGAAAGUUAAAAUAGAUGUUACUCAUGGCAAGCGGUUCGUGACAAUCACCAUUGAAAAUCUUUUGGAAAAACCCCUUUACAUACAAGAUAGAUUCAUUAUAUCUAUCAUUAUAUUUAUACGCAAGACAUUUGAUUUUAUAAGAUACAUUCUAAGCUCUAAGAAAUUAAGGUUUCGGUUUUUGUGCAAGCACAUCAACAAUUUGCAUUUUACUAACUUAUGAACUUUAAUAAAGAACAUAAACAACAAAGUAAAUUACGGGACGUUCACGUUGCUACCUCAUCACUUUAACUUUUGGCCCAAAUGUUCUUAGUAUUAUUGGUUUUGCAAUUGGUAAAUCAAGCAACUUAUUAUAAUGAAAAGGUUUAAUUAUGUUCCUCAAUCCUCACUCUGUGGCAUGUAAUUCUUCAAGUGUACCCAACUUGCUAAAAGUGAGAAAAUGCUAAUAGUAAUAGUAAAUUAGUCAUUUUCUCACUUUUAGCGAUGUUCAAAAUUAUCAAGUUUUUCAAAUCCCGAAUAAAUUCAGGUAAUUUUCAAUUGGUGUGUCCAUAACAAGUUCAAUUUAGUCAACCAUUCCAACUUUCUCAAAUUUAAUCUGGGAUAUGAUAGGGACAUAAUCAACUCAGGCAUAACCAAUAGCAUUUGGAAAUCUCGUUCUGCCAAAUGACAUGCCGUGCAAUUUUGUGAGGUGUCCAACUCUCUUAAAGUCUAUAUGAGUUGAAGCAAUCUCUCAAGUUAAGGGUAGACAAAUUUACCAUAUGGCUAAUUGAUUUAGAAAGUCCAAUCAAUAUUUCGCAACCAUUAGGCAUCAAUCUUUACCUUCUUCAAUAAAGCUUUUCCCGCUAUCUUUUUCUUAACAUAAUCAGUGGACUUAUAAAAAGGUAAGGUGACGCCUAAUGUGAUUUUCCCAUCUACAGUUUAUUUUUGUGGGUUCCGUAUUUUCCCAGAAUUUUCCUCUCUAAUGUUUUUUUCCCUUCCUUUUUUUUUUCCUGACAUUGAACAAAGAAUACGCAAUUCUUUAUGCAUAAUGUAUACUGGCGACGGUGACAUCCUACACAUUUUUUCGUUGGCCUUACUGACAAUUUCGUUAAAAAUCCAUCUACUUGAGUUUUAAAUGAUAAAAUCAAAUAAAUAAUAAAACAAAAUAAAAAGGAAAAGUUGCAUGUACAGAAAUUUCAUGUUUGGUAAUCUUUAGUGGACCAAGCAACAAAAAAAGAUAUCGUAAACAAAAUCGAUCUAGCAGAUAUAAAUAAGUACAUGUCAGCUUGAAGGUGGAAAAGAUAAAAGAGAUAAUUGAUCUUUGUGAUGCAGAUUAGGCUAACGACUACGAUAUACAUAGAUCAAUAUUUUCAGGAAGGGACUUAUCGGGAUCCAAGUUUGUAGAAUUUGGAAAAUAGUUUGGCAUCUCAAGCAGGAUGAAGGUAGCAGAAGUUGAAGGAGAGCGUUACAAAUUAAAGUUGGAUACUCACACUGAUCCCCUGAUUUGUAAUAGUACCAAUUCUACAUAGUGGUAAGCUUGCAAUGGAGUUUUCUUUUGGCCAAUUGAGAACAGAAAAAUCAUGGUAUCAACUAUUAUAGUUAUUAUUCACAGGUUUUUGAAACAGGACGCUUCGAUAGCUACAAUUACAAGAACGCCCCGAUGUCACGAGCACUUGCAGAGAAUUACUAUCUCAUUCUCUUAUAACAAGUUAUCUACUGGCAACUCUUUGAGUAUUCCCAAAGGUAUGAGCAUUUGAGGAAAAUUACAAUCUCUCUAGAAACGCAACUGUUUGUGUAUUUAUUUCUUUUUCACUUAAAGAGUUAUGCGUAACCCAAGCAGUCUCUUUUUUGUUUCAUUAAAAAAAAGAAUUGUCUCUCGUAUUAUGACACAACUAACAUGUAAAAGAAUAACUGCCAAAAAGUCUCUUUAAUAAAAAUAGAUUAUGACCAAAAUAAACACAUUACGGCCUAAACAAAUUACACAUUAUUAAUGCAGAAAAAGCCAUGAAAGUAGGCAUAGAAAAAUUACUAUUACUUAAGCACAUUAAUGGUGUGGCUGUAUAUAUUAUCCGAAUUGGAGCUAAGUGAGUAAUAUUCGAGCUCCAUCAAAAAGCAAACUACUGAUGCUCUGACUAUUAGAGAGAAUUCGUUGAUGAACACUUACUUAUAAUUAAACGUGUCAAACGGAUGGAUUGGGUCAAUUUGAGGUAAGUUGAAAAUGUUUUUGAUUCAAAUUGGCUCAUUCAAUCCAUAUUAAUCUAUUUUAUCUAACACAACUUUCGCAACCAAUACUUGAUUCAACUCAUAUACCCAACCUGACUCGGGUUCCAACUCUUACCAAUUUUUCUCCUUACAAAUGGAAAAUAGCACACUGAAAAGAAAAAAGGAAAAAAAAAAAGAAGCUAACCAGAUAAAAAACAAAUUACACAUGUAAAAAUUAACAAAUAACAAAUUACAUAAAAACUUAAUGAAUCAAGUUAUUAGAAGACAUUCCUUGUUUUAUCUCUUGGUUCUAGAAAUUCGAUCUAAUUUAACGGAAGAGAUCGUGUCUGAAAAAAUAUAUAUGGCAUAAAGUUAAUAUGAUAUUCAUCACUAUUAACACAUGCAAUUGAUGAUUACAUAAAGUUUGUUUCCGGCCAUCGUAGUCUCCUCACCAUGAAAUUGUACAUGUGCUUUAAAUUAUACAAAGUUACGUCUUUUAUGUAUGUCAUUCACACACGAAAUCUUGUGUGCUCGUAUUUUAAUGCAAGGUUGUCAUAUUUUUAUCAGAAUUAACAAAAUUUGUCAUACUUUUAUCACAACGACGAAGACAAAAUGCAAGGUUGGCACCGAAAGGACUUCUUGGCGACAUCAAAUUGAUGUUCAUCAAUAUUUUAUUCAGCUAAACUUACUCAUAUUGCCGUCCAUCAAUUUUUUAUCGCAAAGAGUCGACUAAAUUAUGCAUGACCAUGACCAAUUUAAGUCUUUGUUUAAUGCUUUCUUUUGGGCUAACUUCCAAGCUGUCACUUGGUGGCGAUUAAAUAAAUACGAGGAGAAAGAACGGUAUUUCCCCAAGAUUUCGAAUCGUUAUUAAUUGUGUUUUUAUGGACUGAUUCGAUCAAUCACAUUUGUAUCCUGAAAACCCGGGUAGCACUCAGCAUGGUUAUUUUCCUUUUUGACAUCUCUCCUCCUCUCGCAUAAUCUCACUUGGAAAUCUUCAAUUUAAUAUAUCUCUCCCUCCUGAAAUAGUAUCUCAAUUCGAUAUAAAGAAAACACAGUAUUGCUUUGACUGAUUUUUGAAGUAUAACCUCAAUAUAAUUAACUGUCGAAGAACGAAGUGACUAUUAUGUCUAAUUAGAUCUACUUAGUGAUUUAUGUUUGGGAGCAAGUUUGAAUUAGGUGAACUCGGCAUUUAGUCAAAACAAGAGUAAAAUAGAAGCGUUUAAAUAUAUUCUUAGAAACAGACCAAUAUAUAUAUUCAUAGGAAAAAAAAUUCUUAAAAAUAAUGGAUACAUAUGACGUAUAACAAGGGGGCAAUUUUAAAGUUGGUUCCCAGUACUCUUCAAUCUGAUUGCUAAAGUUUAAUUUUGUUUGACUUGGCUUCUUUUUUUUUUUUUUUUUGGUUGGAAAAGCGAUUUACUUCAUUCAAUAAAGUUCAAAGGAUAACAUAAGUUAUGGGUUUUUGCACCUAAAAGAUCCCAUAGAGGUGAUGAUGGCACUAUAAGCCAAUUGUGAGGAAGAGCCUUCUUGCUAUAGGUUUUGGCGAGCCAAUUUGCAACUUGGUUUGAUUUCCUUGGGGCGGAUGCCGGUUCCACCAAACUGGAUCAGGCGAGCAUCUCUUUACAGUCUUCAAUAAUGGGUCUCAGCUCCCAUGGGCUUGGGUUUUGGCCCACUAUCAUCUUCACAAGUGAUAAAUUAUCUGACGCCUAUCUCCAAGUGCAAAUCUUAUCUCCGUCACUAAAAUGGAGAACUUACGCAAGCGAAAAGUAGUACCGGAUCCUUACCGCUCACUGUGCAAAGACCGGGCGGAAUCCACAUAGCAUCUCCUUCUCUCGUCCUUGGACGCGAGACAUAUGGGCUUAACCAUCCCUAAACAUUCAGGUUUCUUUCCAAGGGUUAAGCAAACUAGAGAUAGAGCUAACGCAAUUCUUCAAAAGCACAGAAAACGCACCUUCUCUGGCACUUGUAGCCCCAUUUGGUUCAAUUUUGGGGAAAUGGCUUUGCAUUUUCCCAAGUAUUUUGAGUGAAAGAGCAUUUUGGGAAUGCAAAGUGUGUUUGGGAACUCUUUUGCAAAGUAGUUUUGAGGUGAAAAGAAAAAGUAAAAAAAGAAAGGAAAAGAAAAGGGAGGAGGAGAUGUAGCUCUCGGCAGUGGGGCUGGUGGUGGUGGGGAGGCGGCUGGUGGCGAUGGAGAGGCGGCUGGUGGCGGUGGCGGUGGCAAUGGAGGAAGGCGGCUCGCCUGAGGUCGCCGACCUCAGGCGACGCCUGGGUCGCGCGACCUAGGCGACGCCUGAGUCGCGCGCCCUCAGGCGACACCACCUGAGGUCGAGUGACCCAGGCGACUCCGCCUGAGGCCGUGCGACCUCAGGCGACGUCGCCUGGGUUGAUUUCUCCCUCCGAUCCUUCUUCGGCCUCCAGGUAGCGUGCUCUUGAACUCACGGCUGUCGUCAUCUUCUUCCAAUCGUCGCGGGUCUCGCGAAGGAUUUUCUCGCCGUCGUCUUCUGGGAGUGUUGAGUGCCGCCGUCGCCGUUGCCAUCUGGGUGCGUCGCAUGGGUCGCCUGACCUCAGGCGCGACCCAGGGCGUCGCCUGAGGUCAAGCGACCCAGGCUACGCCCGAGGUUGCUCGACCUCAGGCCACCUCGCCUGAGGUCGCCUGAGGUCGUGCGACCUCAGGCGAGGCUUCCCGACGGCUAGAUCUAGCCCCCUGGCGGCCAGAUCUGGCCUCUCACCAGCUGAGCUUCGUGAGGAAGAACGAAGAAGACGAUGAACAGUGUUUUUUCGAGGGCAAAAAAGGAAAACAAAAUUAUCGAUAAGGGCAAUAUUGAAAAGAAAAAAAUUCAUUAAAACCUAGUCUAGCAUCCCGAAAAUGUUGAAAGCCCCUUUUAUAGUGGAGGGCCUCGGAUUACAUCCAUUGAUCUAGAAUUCUAUCGGCGGACGAGAUCGCACCGCCUCAACUACCGACAUAAGUACUUAACUACCAUCUACCGACAUAAAUGAAAGGGAACAGACUCCCGUAAUCUAGCUGAAUGACAUGUUCGCCCGUCCUUGUAAUUCGGGGAGAAGACUUGGUGGGAAUCCGAGUGAGAGCAGGAGGUCCACGGGCGACUUGGGGUCGACCUUGGGGAACCUCUCGGGUCGUCCAUUUCUAGGCCCGUGACAUUCUCCCCCACUCAAUCGAGCGACGUCCUUGUCGCUCUCAGCUUGGCGGGCAGCCUUGCGGGCUUUGGCACGAUCUUUCUUAUGCUUGUUUCUCUUCGCUCGGACGCUCAUGAACGAAGGGCCACAUCCUUCGAUGAUGAAGUCGGAUGCGCGCGGCUCGGUCUUCGGCUUGGACGGAGCACGCGGUGCACACUCAACCUCGGGGAAGAGUGCUUGGAUAGGCAUGGCGUGUGUUGGAGUCGGAUUCAACUUGACCAGUGGCUUCACCUCGGACAGCUUGUUGAUGCGCAUGACGGCCUUCAAGCUCUUGUCGAGGCGUCGGAUUGACGCGAUGGUCUUGGUGUCGACCACCCCUUUGAUCAUGGGGAUCAUCGACGGGCAUUUUUGAUCGAGGAUCAUCAUACAUUUGGUCCUCAUGUCGAUCAUGGCUCCCACACUAUCGAAGAAUUGCAUGCCGAGUAUGAGAUCAUAAUCGUCAAGAGGAAUUACCUCGAACGACAUUCGUCCCUUCCAUCCGCCAAUCUUGACGUCUACGUCGGGUGUUGCUCCAACGCCAUGGAAGUCGCUCAAAUUGAUGGGCUUGUACGACUUCCCGGACGGCUCGAUGUGUAAACCCAAGACCUUUGUGACCUCGGUCGACAUGAACAUGUUGGAUGCGCCGGUGUCGACCAAAGCGUAAAGCGUUCGGCCGCCCACUUCGACCUCCACAAAGAACAUGUCGGUGUUUGGAGCGAUUCCUUCUCCUUUGGUCGGCGAUCGGGCUUGGCCGGAAUUGAUCAUCUUCACAGCCCCGAUCCGGAUCUGCCGUUUGUCUUCUUUAGGCGCCUCCUUCUCUUCCUCGAUGGCAAGGAGGGCAUUGAUUCGACCCUUCUUCGGGCACUUUUGGGUCCAGUGCGGACCUUUGCAAAUAAAGCAAGGAGAGGGUGGAGGUUGAUCGAACUUACUCGCGUAGUCGAUCGGUGGUCGACCUCUUUGGAAGGACGGCUUAGAAGUCCCUUCUCCCCACAUCUUGGCUCGGCCGCCUUGAUCAUGCGCGCCACGGGGAGAGCUUCUCGUGUCGUCUUCGGGUCGAUCCGACCUCCAGUCUCUUGCUCGGUUGUUCCUCGGCUCAACCUUGGUGAGGUCGAUGAGAGACUCGGCCAUGCUUAGCGCACGCGCUAGGCUAUUCACGUCCCGCCGCUUCAGCUCAAGUUGUGCCCAUGGCUUCAGUCCAUCCAUGAACGCUCCGAAAGCCUCCUCUUCGCUUAGGUUGCGAAUUUGGAGUUUGAGCUCCGUGAACUCCUUCACGUAUUCUCGGACCGUACCUCUUUGCUCGAGGCGAUGGAGCUUGCUUCGGGCUUCUUGUUGAGCGAACUCGGGGAAGAAAUAGUCGCGGAAUUCCCUCACGAAGUCGUCCCACGUGUUCACGGGAUCGGCGCCUCGUCGAAUCUCAUCGCACCUAUUACGCCACCACAGCAUCGCCGUAUCAGACAGGAACAUGGAAGCGGUUCGUACCUUGAUCGACUCGUCGUGUAUGUUGGCGGCGCCAAAGUACUGCUCCAUGCUCCACACGAAGUUGUCCACCUCUUGGGCGGACCGGUUGCCUUUGAACUCCUUGGGCUUCGGAACCUCAAUCUUGGUCACCGUUUGAGCAGGCACCGCACCAUUCGUGAUGCUAAGUUUACACAGGGCGAGCUCGGUCUUGAGUUCUCGGAUCUCCGCCUUCAUGGCUUCGACCUCAUCCCUACACGGGCUUACCUCUUCGAUUAUUUGGACGCGCUCGUUCAAACCAUCGAUCGAUGCUUCGAGAGCUUCAUCCUUAUCGAACAAUGGAGCCGUGGCUUGGUUGAUGCCGGUCGUGAAGUCUUCACGGAGCGAGCCCUCAACCUCCAUGAUCCGAUCUCGCACAUCGUCAAGACCUUCCAUGAGUUCGAGCACAGCACUCCGAACCUUCCCGAUCUUUUCAUCGAACGUGGCCGCAGCAUCCACCGAGGCGUCUCUCUUCUUUGAUUUGCUGCGCGUGUCCUUGACUGGCACAGCCUCUCCAACUAUGUUCGCAUCUUGGCUCGACAUUCCUUCAAACAGUUGGUGCUCUUCAAUCUCUUGGAUACGGAUCUCUCUUUAGCUCUGAUACCACUUGUCACGGGCCGAUCGAUAGGGAUCGUGACCGCGCGGCGACUCGGGCACUCUAGGAUCGGGAUGGAUCGCCAAAGCGCCUAAGCCAAGCCUUACACAGUCGAACGCUCACUCGCUCGCCUUACCCGGAUCGUAGAGAGAGAAAGUAUCUAGAGAGAAGAGCUCUGGAAAGAAGACUUGCUUUGUAUUGCGGAAGUAGUGGAUGUUUACAAAUGAAGGAGGACACCCCUUUUAUAGUGGAGGGCCUCGGAUUACAUCCAUUGAUCUAGAAUUCUAUCGGCGGACGAGAUCGCACCGCCUCAACUACCGACAUAAGUACUUAACUACCAUCUACCGACAUAAAUGAAAGGGAACAGACUCCCGUAAUCUAGCUGAAUGACAUGUUCGCCCGUCCUUGUAAUUCAGGGAGAAGACUUGGUGGGAAUCCGAGUGAGAGCAGGAGGUCCACGGGCGACUUGGGGUCGACCUUGGGGAACCUCUCGGGUCGUCCAUUUCUAGGCCCGUGACAUAUGUCUCGAGUUGUCUAUUAUAACUUUCUCACAUCACCACCGCCAUACAACCAUGCCCAACAAAGUUGUAUGAAAAAUGAUAUCUAUUUUUAGAAAGAAUUUCACUCCAAGUUCACCUCAAGACGAUUUUCCAAUGAAAAUGGUAUCUACUUUUGUUCCAAACCUGAUUCACCAUUAGAAUCGACAAAUAUAAUUGGAGAAGUUUAUCAUUGUUAAGAAAUUGAUUUUCUUUUUCUAUUGACUACUUUUGAUAUAUCCUAGGUUAAUCAUCUUGGCUUCCAACUUUUUGAUAAUAUGUUAUGAUCUUUUCGAGGCAUAUUUCUGCCAAAAAUAAAGAACUGAGAUGACUGGACAUUCAAGAUCCAACUAUGCGAUCCUUUGAUGACACCAAUCAUUCUCAAUAAUCUUGGCUUUCUCGCAUCUUUAAUCAGCCUAAUACUUGACUUGGAGGAAUCAUCACUUUCUCUAGGACCCUUUUCUUCAAAUCAAUUUUGAUGUCCUAGGCAUAUUUUUAUGAUUGGUAGUGAGUAUUUUUUAGCUGAUUCCAAAAGUUAAAAUACUCUGAUUCCAUGUUAUGUUAGGAAUUUCACAUAUUAUACUGUUUGACCGUGUUAAUGAUAGAAAGUGUUAAUGAUAGAAAUGAUAGAAUGUCUUCCUUAGAAUUGUAUGGAAUCACUUGUAUGGGCAGUCAAGCUAUUUCUUUUUCACUGAUUUCAAGAAAGGACGCAUUCAUUGUUGCAAUUACAAAGCUUCAUUGUCCAUGUUUUUAAGCCAUUUCUAGAAAAUCUCAAUUCUACCACCGACAGCGUUCAUAUUUUGAAGCAUAAUUCUCAAUGUAGCGUGCUCUGCUAAUCUUUGCCUCCCCUGUAAUUCUCAAUAGAAAUACAACUCUUUGUGUAUUUGUUCCUUUAUGUAACCUAAGAAAUCUCUUUUUGUUUCAUUAAAAAAAAUAGCCACUCGAAUUAAAACGAAAACUAACAAAUAAAAGGAUAACUAACAAAAACUCUCUUUCGUAAAGAACAUGGUUAACUCAUAAUUGUGGAACUAUACAACUGAAACUAUCCAAUUCACCCAAAACAUGAUUAUUAAUCACAAUAAUUAUAAUAAUUACCAGGUGCAACAUUUUUUCUUACUCAAAUGAAUAAUGUUGUAGAGCAAAGACUGUAGCAGAAAAUGUGAAUCCGAGUUAUGCUCAAAUAUCUAGCGAUGCUUGCUCUUCUCUAUUAAAAAAAAAAAAAGAAAAUCAUUUUUUUCGGGGCAUGAUGCAAUGAAGGAUUUGUCGAUUAAAUUGGAGCUUCUUCUUUUUUUGUGGUUGAUUACUUAGUAUUGAACAUAAAAAGAACUCAUUGAAAAUGACACAGUGCCUCCAUUUCUGAGAUAUGGCAAGUAUUGUGGGCUCCUGUACAGCGGAUGUCCAGAGGAGAGGCCCUACAACGGCCUUGACGCUUGUUGCAUGAAGCACGACGCCUGCAUUCAAGACAAAAACAGUGAUUCUCAGCAUCGAUUCCUUCAACUUUUCUUCAUUGAAUUGAUUGAUAUAACUAGUCGCUGGCCCGCGUGUUUGCAUGGAUGUAUUUUAAGAGGACGAUUGUGGAAGCCAUUUUCGCUGGUGAACAAUAGCUUCACUCGUCUAUAUAUGCAUGGAUUCACAUUCCUAAAAAAGCAUAUUACAGAGUGGAGAUAGAGAAAAUGGCGUAAGGGACUAAUUGGUCAAAAGAAAGAAGAGACAUGAGUAAGAUUAAUGUGCCUACGAGGACUUUGCUCUUCCACAAUGUCAUUAAACUAUCUCUUCAUUCAUGAGCCAACUUUAAUCACUAUUCUGAGGUCUGGGGGAGGAGAUUGUGAGGGAGUAAAUGCUCUUGUGAGGGCAAUGACAUCAACAUUUGCUUUUUAUUACAAAAAGCGCAUGUCUAGAUUUUCUCUUUCUCAUGGACUGGUCGGGGAUAAUAACUUCAACUAAUACUCUGGCUUGUCAAAUGUGCUAAGUGAUGGCAAUGAAAUCAUAUCGCGUGAUUAUUCAAUUUGACCUUUCAUUCAUAGAGCAGGUCGUGUCAGCCUCAUAGAAAUAUUGGAAUUGUGAUGCUCAGACCUGGCGGGGUGUUGUGCAGAUGACUAUUUGAGCCAGAAGUGCAGCCAAAACUUACCGAACUGCAUGACGAACUUCAAGAACUCCAGAGGAAGAACGUUUAAAGGAAGCAAAUGCGAAGUCGAGGAUGUCGACGUCCUCUCCAUUGUCAUGGAAGCUGCGUUGCUUGCCGGGAGAUACCUCCACAAGCCCUGAAUCUCUCUGUCCACGUUCCACGGAUAUAUCAACUCUGAUCCCUUCACUCACUUCGUGAUCAUCCCUUUCUUCUUUGAUUUUUUUUCCCUUCUGGCGGUUUGUCACCACCAAAUGAAGAACGAACAGAAGGAUGCAACUUCGACACGUAAAGGCAUGACGAAAAAAUAAGAGAGCGCAACAUGAUUCCUACCAGUUUUUCCACCGUACACGAUGCAACUUUUGACAGGAUCAAAGCCAUAAAUCCACCAUCAGAUUGAGAAAUCUAUGUAUUAGCAUCUCAAUUGACAAAGAGGGCAGAAUCCAUGGAAAUUCAACAUCUCAACAUCAGUGUCUUGGAUCUGAGAAAAGUAAAAUUCUUACGAUGGUGCCUCCAGUGACUUAUCAAUCCAUGACUAAAUAACUGGACAUAAGCUGCUAAAAAUGCAAUCGAAGCCACAUAGACAUGAGUAGUUGCCAGGAUCAAUCAAUUGCUAAAAGUAUUAUUUGACAUCAGCUGAAUAAAAGGUUUCAACAGGGGUUACAUACAUUGAGUCUACCUCCAACUAAUACUUUAAGCCUUUGGUUGGACCUUUUGCGAACGAUGAAUGAAGUUCUGUUUUAUUAUGCAUUAAUGAAUGAAAGAAUCACAUAAUAAACAUCUGGUUCUCUAGGAAACCAACUUUAAUAGAGCUUGGAAAAAAGUAAUAAUCUGUUUGCAUAAGAACAAAUUCAUGUCAAGGAUGAAGAGUCUUACUUUGUGACUGGUGACGUAUAAUGAUAUGCAAUCUACUUCAAAGGCAUUCUUAUCUAUUUUCAUUCCCACCAGGAUCACAAGCCAGAUGAUGCUGAAGCAUCACAUUCAAGUGGUCGACCAAUUUCCCCAAGAUUCGUUGAAAUAAGACAGAAAACAAUAAGACAUCGACAUGAAAAGCCCCAUGCCAGACUGAAAAUACUAAUGUGAGAUGGGUAUUCUCAACUGAAUAUGAUAAUAAAAGAACGCGAUUUCUCUCGUCAGGAUUCAAAGACACGCAUCAAACUACUGUGCAAGUGAUAAUAAAAGAACAUGACAACUAUCUUCCAAGUCAAUUUGCCCUCCUAAUAUUGCCAGUGAGCUAUUCCUAUGUCAAGAUUACAGUUUUAGUAGGAAGUCCUCGCUCCUGAUGCAGUGCCAUUUAAACACUCCACAGAAUUAAAAAUCAUAUGCACAGCUCCUCCCACUUCAUUUCAGAGCCAUAAACAGCUGGGUAGUACUCGUGCUCUGAAGAUUUUUUGUCCCCACCAUCAGCCUAGCCAAAAAUGGUGCACAUUUCUGGCUGAAACCAAUUCCAUACAGUGGCAGCUGUAACGAAACAUUCUGAUUUGAGCUGUAGUUCAAGAAAAUAUGGCAUUUAGAGAUCUAGAUCAGCUCUCAAACAUUAAACGACUAAAGCAAAUCACCUUUCUAGCCACCCAUUGAUUACUAGUCAUGUUUAUCCCAAAAACAUGAAAGCAAUAUGGUUGAUUUAAGGACUUCCUGCAUACUUCUGGCUUGGAUCUCACACUGUUAUCCACAAUACAGUGGAAAUCCUCUGUUCUUCUAAAGCCUCUAGGGCAUAAACAUCGUCAUCACCAAACAAUGACUAAACUAAAGUGAUAAAUUGCGAAUAAUGUUAAGAUACAAAUUUGCAAGACGAUUUAUACCUGCAUGAAGCAAAACAAUGAAAGAGCGGCUGCAUGAUUUGUACUGGAUUUCCACUGUUGAUGAUAACACUUUNNNNNNNNNNNNNNNNNNNNNNNNNNNNNNNNNNNNNNNNNNNNNNNNNNNNNNNNNNNNNNNNNNNNNNNNNNNNNNNNNNNNNNNNNNNNNNNNNNNNNNNNNNNNNNNNNNNNNNNNNNNNNNNNNNNNNNNNNNNNNNNNNNNNNNNNNNNNNNNNNNNNNNNNNNNNNNNNNNNNNNNNNNNNNNNNNNNNNNNNNNNNNNNNNNNNNNNNNNNNNNNNNNNNNNNNNNNNNNNNNNNNNNNNNNNNNNNNNNNNNNNNNNNNNNNNNNNNNNNNNNNNNNNNNNNNNNNNNNNNNNNNNNNNNNNNNNNNNNNAAGAACGAAGAAUCUCAUGUUACUUGACUGAAGACAACAGAUAUCCUUUUGGAGGCAUUCUGACCUUCUAUAUUCAUGUCAUGAUCACAAGCCAGAUAACACUAAAGCAUUACAAUUACUUUGCUCAAACAACUUCCUCCAGUUGCUGGAAUUAAGACAAGAAAAUUAUAACGUGUCAAAAAAAAGCCCCAUCCAAACUGAAAAUACUAAUGGAAGCAGGUUAUCUCCACAGAAAAACUACACUAUACCUGCUAUAUUUUUUGUUCAGUAAAUGACUUCAGCGAUCUCCAGCAACAGAUCUUAGUCAUCCUCCAUAGAAUCUGAAUAUUCUUCAUAAUCCUGAAAGCAGAGCAGGGUUACCAAGUCAAUCUUUUUGGUGUUGCUCACAUCAAAUUGUAUCCAGUACUAUCAAACGUUAGAUCUAACGAUAGACAGCAAACCUCGGUCAGCUUCUCGUUGUUGCUUUCCUCAAUAAAAAAAGUCUGGUAAUUUCUUGAGUGACUCGCACCCACUCCUAUCAAAGCGCAGGAAUUUACUGGGGCAGCGAAUUUCAACUAAGCUUUUGCAAUCCCUAACAUUCAACCACGUUAGAUGCUCCGACUUUGAAAGGUCCAGUACUUGAAUGUGCUUACGCCAAGAAAUAUCCACCCAUUCCAAGGAUCCCAAUUUUUCAAGGCCUUCUAUCACAUGGAGAUGAUCCACCUUUUCAUCAAAUGAUAGAUAUAGGCACAACUUUCUUAGGGAUUUUAAAGAUUCCAGUCCAUCCAAUUUCUUCAGCCCAUUACAGGCCGAGAGCCCUAAUUCCGACAAAAAUUCCAAAUCUUUUUGAUUUGGAAACCUUUCCACUUUGGGACAUUUAUUAACGUCAAGUAUCCGUAUGCAGGAGGGGAGCUUUGGGAUCUCUUGAAGAGACACGCAAUCCCAAAGCCAGAACUUCUGUAGAUGCUUCAGGCGAGAGAGCGAUGGGAUGCUUUGAAGAGACCCGCAGUCGCAAAGGUAGAGCUCUUGUAGAUGCUUCAGGCGAGAGAGCGAUGGGAUGCUUUGAAGAGAGUCACAAAUGAAAAGUUGGAGUGUCUGUAGAUGCUUCCGGUGAGAGAGCGAUGGCAGCUCCUUGCUCCGACCGGUGAGCCCCAGGAAUUUUAAGCUAAAAGGAGGUUUUGGGAGUGACUCAAGCUCUUCACACUCAUCUAAUUGGAGGUGCUCGAGAGAAGAAAGCUGAUCUAAGUUUUCCGGCAAGCCAGAAAUUUUUGUGCACUGUAAAUCAAGGGUUUUUAGAAAAGACAAUCCACCUUUAUCAAGGAGAAUCCGUCCUUUUAGUUUACGGCAUGAGGAGGCAUCGAGCUCUUGGAGGCUCUGCAAUUUUCCAAUAGAGCUCGGUAUCCUUUCUAUCUCACAACCCUGAAUUUUCAAAAUUUUCAAUUUGUUCAAUUUGCCAAUGGAUUCAGGUAGUUCCUUAAUCCUUGUACCUGACAAGUUCAGCUCAACCAACUCUCCCAACUUCCCAAUUGAAGAAGGGAUCUUUUUUAAUGACAAAUGUUUUGACUCCCAAUCCCACUGGGCACUAAGCCUCUUCAGAUUCUUUAACGAUCCUAUACAUGAAGGGAUUUCUUUUAUCCGAGUCUUGUCUACGACAAGUUCCUCCAAAUGUUCUAGUUUGCCAAGUUGUUCAGGUAACAUCUUGAGACUUCUACAACCACUCAAGUUCAAGAGAAGGAGGCGCUCGGCAUAUUGAAUGGAAUGGUCGAUUUCCUUCAAAUUGGCACAACCUUUUAGGAUUAGAGACCGUAAAUUUUCAAAAGUGGAGAGAUUAGGGUUGCUCUUCAAUUUCAAGCACCGCGAAAGAUUGACAACUUUCAACCUCUCCAUCUACAAGAAAGAAACAUGUUUCAAGAUUAGCAAUUAGAAAUAUAAUGAUUUAUCAUCAAAUGUAACAAAGAAAAAGCCUUUUUUCAUAUUUACCUUAAUUGAACUCCAUCCUCUCCAAUUUUCACUAACACCCCUAACACGAUCGUAAUGAACACCAAAUAAAUCAGGUAUGACUAAUUUGGUCAUCUCCAAAGAGUCGUGGCAUCCCUCCCACUCUAGCCAUCUUAAUUCAGUGAGUGAUUCUUCGAAAUCUCCACCAAAAUCCACAUCCUUCACAUGAAGGAACUUCAAGUUAGGCAUUUUUUUAAAGCUUUCUCGCCUCAUGAACUCUUUGGAGCCCCUUUGGUCUAGACGUAGUGCCUCAAUAUUUUCAUUUUCCACCUACAAAAAGAAUAAAAUAAAAUUGAGGAUUGUAAAUACCAUUCGACCUCCUUUUGUUCGUAUACUCUUGCAUGAUAUUGUGACCAAUGCAUUUUGUCUACACUCAUAGAGAAAUAGAAAUAUAUCUAAUCUUUUACAAUUACAUGAUCAUAUAAUACGUCGAUCUUCACUCGUAUGCCCCAAUUUUUUAUGUUUUAUGUGAAACUCCAAUAUUAAAUUAGUCUGGUUUUCUUAUAGAUUUUGAAAUUAAAUUUUGUAACAUACAUAGUAUUGACAACCGAUGUCCCUUUGACAUAUAUGGAACACGAUUGUUCCAUGACACGCGAAGAGCUCACAACAAAACUAAAAAAUCCUCAACUGUGACACUUCCUUUAUAAAUUAAUGUAUCUUGAACAAUCUUCCAUCAUUAAUUUAUGUAAUUUGUUAAUUUGACUAAAAGUGACACUAAAAGAAAAGCUAAAUCCACAACUGAAAAUUUGAAUUUAAUUUUUUUAAAAUUUUACUAGUGCUUUAACUAACAAGAUAAGUAAUGAUUUUCUAAUAAUUAUCGAGUAAGCGUCAUCAAAUUAUGGUGUGUUGUUUCAGGUAAUCAACUAACCUAAUUAUGCAUUUCUAGAUUAUUCUAAAAAUCGAUAUAUUUCAAGGUGUUUCUUCAAUUAUGUUAAUGACAUUCACUAAGUCAUACAAUUUAGAGUAAAUUUUCAAUUUUCUUUUUGUUAAGUACAUGCAAUAAUGCAUUGACAUUAUCAUAUUGGAUAUAAAUUGUGAACAUGCAUGGCAAAUCCUAAAAAACAAAUUGUAAAAAUUCUUCGUACAAAUAAAACCACUGCAUAAGAUCUUAUUACUUCAAAUUGAACAAAAUCUAAAGUUGAUAGCAUAGUUAUGAGAUGCAAAUAAUUGAACUAAAAUCUUUCUUUUUGCUGCCAUAAAGUAGAACCUGCGCUCGAGCAAAUAGCAUAUAUUCACGAUUGAAAAUUAAAUAUGGGAUAAUGCAUUAGAUUCUUGAGAAGGAUACUAUUACAUAUAUCAUACCAAAGUACAUUUCAAGACUGAAAAAUGUGGAAAAUAUGUGAUCCAUGAAUUAAGCAGAUCCAUUUAGGUGAAAAAGAAGAAUAAGAAGAAGUAAAUUUGACAGUUUAACAGGUGGUUAUAUACUCUUAAUUAACAUUUAUCAACCCAAUAUUUAUCGUCACAUCAAUGUACUUCAAAAAUUAAAUUCCCAAUAUAUUUUGGGACGAUAAAAUGAAAAUAAAAUAAAAUGAAGAAGUAAUGAUUGACAGUAAAGUUUUUGUUAAAUUUGUAAUGACUUAUAUACAUUUUAGAGCCAGAUAUAAGUGGCAUAAAGUAAAUUUUCGACCUGUGUGCUUCAACAAGUAAUAUGGUAAGAAUAAGUAACAUAUUUGCUAAAAAAGGAUGUGAAUAUUUUCUGAGUCUCAUAGUCACGAGUGCAAACUUUUCAUAAACUAUGGGCCAAAAUUCGAUGUAGCUUUUACCAAGAAAAUGCUAAUCACAUGUUGAGAAUGGUCAAUGAUCUAGAGUAAAAGAACGAUGAUGAUAAUAAUGUAAGGGACUACGAUUGGAGAACAUGGGAGAGGACAAAAGUAGACAUCAUCAUUACCUUUUGGAGAACAUGGGAGAGGACAAAAGUAGACAUCAUCAUUACCUGACGACGUAGAACUCUCAUGACUUUCUCCUUGUCCCAUAGUCUGCUACAAUCCCAAGGCUUCUUAUCUGCUGGACAGGCGAUAACUUUACCUAGAUCUCUUAAUUGAUCAUGCAUUCUAAAUCGAUUCUCGUCAUCAAUUUUUAUUAACGAACGGUUAAUCAAUAUUCGCAAUCCGGCUAUUGGGAAGAAUUUGAGAUCCGCCCAAAAGUAGGUGACAUUUGUUUUGUCAGUCCCAAUGAAAAAACAUGCAAUGUCUAGAAACAUCUGCUGCACCUCAGAUGUUAAUGUAUCAUAACUUAUCCUCAACUUUUCUUGCACAGUCUCAUUAGGUGCAUUCCUCAAUUUCUUCAAAGUCUCUUCCCACUCUAUUCGAUCUUUCUCUUUGAGAAGUGAACCUACAACCAUGAGAGCCAAGGGAAGCCCUCCUGUGGUGGCAACAAUAUUACUAGAAAGAGCAGCGAGAUCAGUGGGAGGUUGUUCCCCUUCAAAUGCAUAUUUACUAAACAGAAGCAAAGAUUGUUAACUGUUCAUUUCUUUGAGUUCAUAAAUUUCAUAGUCAGACUUAAAGAGAGUCUUGUCUCGACAUGUAAUUAUGAUCCUACUUCCUGAUCCGAAAUUACAACCUCCAAUCAAUUUAUCGAGGUGGUCUCGACGAUCCACAUCAUCAAGAAGAAUAAGUACCUUCUUAUUUUCACAACUUGAUCGGAUCAUUGCAAUCCCUAUAUCAGACUUAUGCACGCUAUGGGGAGGGCUUUUUGUUAUCUCUGAGAUGAGUAGAGAUUGGACAUGCUCGACGCCCUUGCGAUUAAUUUCUUCUCUAAUAUCCUGGCGAGAGCUGCGGCACUGAAACUUGUCAAAAAGCUUUUUAUAGAUGAUCGUAGCUAGAGUUGUCUUACCGAUGCCGCCCAUCCCCCAAAUCCCAAUAAUUCGAGUGUCCGGGCGAGCAAGAUCCACCAAUUCCAUAACCUCAGCCACACAAUCCUCAAUUGCAACCAAGUUUUCAGGAAGAUCUGGUGGGAGAUCAUGUUGCUGCUCACGCAAUAUUAUUUCUACAAGUUCAUUUACCAAUUCCCCUUCAUGCCUGCCAAAUAACACAACACAUGAGAACUUAUUAAUGGCUCCACAAAACAUGAAUUGAGGAUGAUAAAUAGAAAGUUCUUCUUCCAACAAGGAUCUGUUAAAAGAGGUAAACGAAGUACCCAUCAGCAAAUUUCUCUGAUUCGAAUACUCUAAGAUCAACUGCUUUUUUGAGAGCUAGCGGCCCCUGUUGCUCGACCUCCUUCUCAAAUUUAUCCUUACAGGAUUUGUAGGCCUUUCCAAAGGCCCCCUUUAGUUUUCGGACAUGCUUGGGUUUCACCUUGUAAAGCACGGGCAAGACUAUCUGUCCUCUGCUUUCCUUGCACUCCAUUAUAUGAAUGAGCUCGUGAAGGCACCAUUCGCUAGCAGCAUAAUUUUCCGAGAUGACUGGGAUUGAAAUCUUAGAGCGCUCAAUUGCACUGAUGAGAUUUUCAUCAAUUUUCUCACCAAAGGGGAGGUCCUCAUCAUCUCUGACACAAAGUUCGGAUGGUACCUCAGCCACAGCUUUGAGUCUUUGGUAGAGUGAUCGACGAAACCUUUGCNNNNNNNNNNNNNNNNNNNNNNNNNNNNNNNNNNNNNNNNNNNNNNNNNNNNNNNNNNNNNNNNNNNNNNNNNNNNNNNNNNNNNNNNNNNNNNNNNNNNNNNNNNNNNNNNNNNNNNNNNNNNNNNNNNNNNNNNNNNNNNNNNNNNNNNNNNNNNNNNNNNNNNNNNNNNNNNNNNNNNNNNNNNNNNNNNNNNNNNNNNNNNNNNNNNNNNNNNNNNNNNNNNNNNNNNNNNNNNNNNGUGCUUGCGUUGCUCCCCCCCCCCCCCCCCCCCCCUCUCUCUCUCUCUCUCUCUCUCUCUGUCUCUGAGACUCGACUGGUGUGGAUAGUUUUUGAGGUGAUGGAAGAAGGGGGUGAGUACAGUGGUUUGCUUGUCAACCAGGAAGAUGUCUCCGUUCGGCUGCAGGGGUUUCAGCUGGGAAGCGUACUCGAGCUGGUGGAAGAGUAAAAAGAGAAAGCAAGAGGCGAGGCAGGAAAACGAAGCAGGAUUGUCGUUUGAUAUAGUUCAUGUGUUUAUAUUGGGAUCAAGAGACGCGUUCAGAAUUUUGCCAAAAAAAAAUUAAUUGUUAAUCGGUUAGAAGCAAUUCUGGUGGUCCUCGCUCCUAGCCCUAGAAGUCUGCUCCCAACUGGCCUUAACAACCACCCCCAUUAUAUAAAAUUUAAAAAAAUGAAAGAAAAUAACAUAUUAGCUAUAUUGCCACUAUAAUUAUAUUACCGUGAUCACAAUAAUUAAUUAUUCAAGAAAUAUACUUUAUCUUCAUUAGAAUAAGAGAUUUCUGCAAUAUUGAAAGUAAUUAUACCCCAUUGAGUUAAAGCCAAAAAAUAUUUAGUUCAAUUAAAGUAGAAAAGUAAAAGGAAAAUUGUACAAAAACAAGUUCGAAUAGACAUUCUUCAUGAAAAUUAUCGCCUGCCAAUUACCCAUUAAAAAUGCUUUGGUGAACCACUUUUAUAUUUAUCUAAUAAGAUAGAUCAACCAUAUCUAUUUUAGAUCUAUAUAUGAAUCAUAUUUCAUUUUAUAAGCUUAAUUCAUAUCUCAAAGAAAUUAUGCUCUUUUUUUUGGCAAGCACAUCAACAAAUUUGCUUUUAAUUAACUUGUGGACUUCGGUAAAUGACAAAAAAUAAUAAACAUAACUAUCGGACACUCAUGUGCUUACUUUUCUUUGAUUUUUUUUGUCCCAAAUGACAUCAAACACUAUUUGCUUUGACCCUGCGUCGCUGUUUUGGGCUUGACCCAUCUAUCUUCAACUCUCCUAUGCCGAUCGUCGAGGUCGCCUUAGUCUAGUUUUGCGAGUUGUUUCUCCUUGGCCCUACGUGGCCUUUUGUUUAGUCUGUCUGUUUUUAGUUAUUGCUUCGACCCUGCGUCGCUGUUUUGGGCUUCCUGUUUCGGCCCUUGCUUGAGUUGACCGCGUUGCGGUGUUUUGUGUCUGGCGCCCUUUCACUCGAUUAGAGGCUUCUGUCUUGUUGAGUGCAAGUUUUGUGGUGCCGGAUCAUGUAUAUUUGCUGAUUUUAGCUCAAUAUAUCAUUAUCCUUUACCAAAAAAAAAAAAAGCACUAUUUGCUUUGAGAUGACAGCCACCCUCACAUUACUAGAAAGCAUUCACCAAUUAUUUUUCUCAACCAGCCCCACCACUCCUCUUUAUGAGUCUCAAAGGCCAUCAUGACCCUCUGCCUUAUUACUGUCCAUGUGAAACGCACUGGUUGCCAGUCUAAAAGAAAAAGGAAAGAACUUUAAAGCACUGACGCAACCGGAAUAUUCCCAGGAACGUUCGCGCGAAGUUUCGUUCGAAGAGCCUUAUUUCCUCUCGAUUGAACUUCCUUGUAGCCGGGCAUCAUUGGAUCGACAAAUCAACAUCUAUUGGAAGUCUAACGGUAGGAAACUACAUGCGAGAAUAGAGCUCUUGAAGUCACAUGCAAAGGUAAAGCUAAGGUUCCUAAAGUCAAGGAUUUUGUCUUUCAAUAUUGUGGGCUUCAAUGUUCAGGAAAUUUUGGCUACACAUUUCGCUCAUGGAGAUGUAAAUGGAGCAGUGAUAGUUUUCAAGCAAUAUAUUAACUACCACUGGACAUGAGAAAAAAUUAUUAUCAAAAAUGAUAUGGUGCCCGCAUUGCUGAGAUACGGCAAGUAGUGCAGGCUUCUGUUCAGGAUCGAGACACUACAAAGGCCUCGACAAUUGCUGCAUGAAGCGCGAUACCCUCUUUCUCCUUUCUUUUCCUUUAAUUUAUUUUCGUUAAAUAUCAUUUUCUUUCCUAUCAAAGGAACCUCCUAUUCCUUUCGAUCUUGAGAUUGCGUAAUUGUAUAUUUUCUUGAAGAAAUAAGAAUGUUGUGUUUGGGUGUGAAAGAACUAAGGCAAUAAGAAAAUCGAAGAUAGAGAAGAAAAUAAGAAAUAAAUGAAGGAUAUAGAGAUGAGGUGUGAAUGGAAAUGACCGUUUAACUUUACAUAGGGAAGGGUACGUGUGCUGAGGACGAUCAUAUAUUUCGACUUACAAGUCAAAAGUGGUAUCUUAUCUCAAUUAAGUUUGGACAAAGAACGGUGGGCACCCCUUCAUUCACGGUUACUAAGCAAUACAUUGCUACAUGUAAUUACACCUUACACUACAUUGGUUGGGUGGCCUUUUUCGAUCAUUGUAUUUCGCAAUGGAAAGAAUCGGUGUUUCUAUCUCAUGAGUCGGGGANNNNNNNNNNNNNNNNNNNNNNNNNNNNNNNNNNNNNNNNNNNNNNNNNNNNNNNNNNNNNNNNNNNNNNNNNNNNNNNNNNNNNNNNNNNNNNNNNNNNNNNNNNNNNNNNNNNNNNNNNNNNNNNNNNNNNNNNNNNNNNNNNNNNNNNNNNNNNNNNNNNNNNNNNNNNNNNNNNNNNNNNNNNNNNNNNNNNNNNNNNNNNNNNNNNNNNNNNNNNNNNNNNNNNNNNNNNNNNNNNNNNNNNNNNNNNNNNNNNNNNNNNNNNNNNNNNNNNNNNNNNNNNNNNNNNNNNNNNNNNNNNNNNNNNNNNNNNNNNNNNNNNNNNNNNNNNNNNNNNNNNNNNNNNNNNNNNNNNNNNNNNNNNNNNNNNNNNNNNNNNNNNNNNNNNNNNNNNNNNNNNNNNNNNNNNNNNNNNNNNNNNNNNNNNNNNNNNNNNNNNNNNNNNNNNNNNNNNNNNNNNNNNNNNNNNNUUUGAGAUCAAAGUUGGAUACUCGCACUGGGAUCAGCUGACUUGUAGAGCACCGAACCGGCAUGGUGGGAGGCACGAAAUGAAGCUUCUUGGGCCAAGAGAGCAGAAAAAGCAUGGUAUCAAAUAAUACAAGCAGCUUUUCAUAGAUAUUGAAAUAGGACCCGUUUAUAGUUACAGUUUCAAAACUUCCUUCGCCAUGACUUAAGUCAAUUUUGGAAUGUCUCAGUUACUUGAACGGGAGUGUCUGGACCCUGAAGCAGUUUGCUCAAAGUGGUGUGUUCUGCCAAUCUUUGCCUUCCUCUGCUAAUAACCGCUACCCGCAAAAGGGGUCCUUCCAAGGUCCCUAGGCGACGAAAAUGGAACGGGAUUAGGGGAGCAUGUUAGUCGUUUGAUUGAGAGAGGAAGCUGUGCACUUUCAUAUGCAUUCUAUAAGCUACUUGCUCAGGUGGUCCAGUUAGGAACAUUCUAGGAAAACUACAAUUCUUCAUAAAGAAUAAGUUCCUUCAAAAUCUCGGGCACUAAAGAAAAAUUAUCAUUCAUAAAAAGUUAUUAAUAAUAGGAGCCUCAACGUCACUGGCACUCGUAGAGAAAGUAUGAUCUCUUUCUUAUAUACAAAUGUUACUUACUAGCUAGAGAUAGAUCCAUCAUUAAGUGUCAAGUGUACCCAUUACCCAUUGAAAUUUUUUGGCAAGUCACUAUUACUUUUAUUUAAUAAGUUGAUUCAUUGUAUCCAUUUUAGAUCUAUAUAUGAAACGUAUUUUAUUUUAUAGGCUUAACUCAUAAUUCUAAAAAAUUAUGCUCUCUUUUUUAUGUGCAAGCACAUCAACAAUAUUGCUCUUAAUUAACUUAUGAACUUUGACAAUGACAAUGAUUUAAGAUAAUAAACUUAACUGUCGGGCACUCAUAUUUUCACUUACUUUUCUUUGAUUUUUGGCCCAAAUGACAUUAGCAAUAUUGUUUUUAAGACGACAACCACCAUCACAUUACUAAAAAGCAUUCGCCGAUUAUUUCCCUCGUCCAUCCUACCACCUAUCUGUCCAAGUCUCCAAGGCCACCGUGAACAAUUCCUUUUAGGGUCAAUGUGAAACGCGCUGGCUGAAGGUCCAAAAGAAAAUGGGAAAAGCUUAAAGCACCGACACGAUGGGUCGGUACGUUCCCAGAAAAUCCGUGUGAAUUAUUUGUCCUCUAAUUGAACCGUGUGGUGGGGGCAUCAUUGGAUCUGGAAAUCAACGUCCAUAGGCUACCAUGUAGCAAAUAAAAAGUCUACCAGUAGGAAAUUAUUUGGGGGACACACAAUAAAUGCUUUCACAGGAAAAUGAAGGAUGAGGAGCUCUUGACGUGUACGUGAAGCCAAGGUUCAUAAAGUUUAGAAUUUUGCCCAUCGAAAUUUGUGGGCUGAAACCUUUGUCGGUUAACGUGUGAAUCGGCCUCCCAUGUGAUGCACGGUUUGAUUUAUUACUACCAUUUGGUCAUCCUAAAAACUUAAUAAGAACCGUUCUUUAUCUAAAUCCUUGAGCUUCGUUGAUUACUCCGAACUGAGUCGUUGUGGGAUCCUAAUAUAAUUUCAAUUUAUAUAAGUAUUUUAAAAUCGCUAUCUUAUUAUUUGAUUCAUAAUUCAAUUCAUUUCUACCUUAUUUGUCAUAUUAAAAGUUCGUAAGGAAUUACUUUUUUAUCUAGACUCUCUGACUCUAACGAUUACUCUAUCCUUGUCAAAUCAAGUUAUUAUAUUAUUAAAAGAUAAAUUCUUAAUAAGGCGAGCAUCAAUUAUUUAAUUAGUGAUGAGAUGUUAUUUUGUUGCAUUUGCGUUAUCUCUCGCAUCACAUCUCUAGUGAAUUAUAAAUUUAUCUUCGUGCUCAGUUAAAGGAGUACCUUGUUGGCUUCUUUAGUAUUGUAGAAAUCAUAUUUACAAAACGAAUAGUACCUCUCCUUUCCCAUACUUUUCUCCUUCCUUUUUCUUUAAUUUAUUUUCGUUAAAUAUCCUUUUCUUUCCUACCGAAAGCAGCUCCUGCUCCUUUCGUGCGUGGCGAGAGAGAGGGGGGGGGGGGGUAAUCGUGGAUUUUCUUGAAGAAAUAAAGGUUGUGUCUGGGUGUGAAAAAACAACGACAAGAAGAAAAUUGAAAAGAGAAGAAAAGGAAAAUAACCUCAUGUUACACCUUACAAGUCACAAGUGGGAUUGUAUCUCAAUUAGAUCUGAAUGAAAAAUGACCAAAACCACUUCACUCACAAUUAAAUUGAUGAAGGAUGAUGAAUGGUAAUUUCAUGAUUUGAGUCACAAGCAAUGCAUUGCGACGUGUAAUUACACCUCCACUACAUCGGUCGGCGGCUUUUUCAACUAUUGUGUUUCGCAAAUGAAAAAAUCAGUCUUUCCAUCUCAUGUGGACUGUGCACACACAUCUAUAUCCCUCUUCCUUUCCUCCUUUCCUUUUCUGCUUAUUAUUCCAUGGACGAACAGAUGCAGAGAAACACAGAGACCUCCCUACUUCACUCAAUGAACCCGCAGUCCCUCUGUCUCAUCGUGAAUUCACAGUGCUUGAGCGACCUGUAAAGAAUCACACAUAAUAUUUGAUCGACUGCUUCCCGGGGGACCUUUGUCGCUUUCCUCUUCCGUCCCUACCGCUCUUCUUUUCCGAGUCUGCAAAGCCACGAGCCUCUUCCUUUUGGCGUUAUUGUGAAACACGCCGGUUGCCUCCAGCUUUUCAAAAGCUUAAGGAAAAGAGGGUUAAAGCACCCAUAUCAAUCAGUACGUUCUCUGAACGGUCCGCCUGAAGUUUUGUCCGAGUAGUCUUAUUCAAGUUCUGUGCAGCACGCUCAUCAUCGGAUCGAGAAAUUGACAAGAGAUUCCGUAAUUAUUAUCUUAGACGAAAACAAUUAUCAGAAAUCAAUGUCUACUUACCGAGGCUACUAUGUUGGAAAUCGUACGUCUCCCAUAUAGUAUGAAGCUAUAUGGGAGAUGGGAGACGUACGAUGGAUGCUUUCACAAGAAAAUGAAGAGGAGUUAUUGAAUUCAUCCGUGAAAGCUCAGGUUCUUUCAAAGUUUUUGGGCUCCAAACUAAGGAGAAAAAGAAAGAGUUGCCUCAUCCGUGCGGGAAAGAAACAAAAAAAAGUUCGCUUUGCUUCAAGUGUUUUUGCAGGUCAUGUGAGAAAAACAAUCUUAAUAGUAAGUGUAAGCUUUCACUCAUAAUAAAUUAUGUUUGAUAAUUGUGCGACAAUUCUUUUUUUAUGUAUGUUGUAUUCAUACUAUAUUUUCAGUUAAAUAUGUUCCAAGCUGAGUUGCUCAUUACAAUUUUCUCAUGUUGCGACUACCGUGCUUCUGUACCCGACAACAAUGAGUGAUAAAUCAUGUCUAAUUUCGGAAUGAAUUUUGCUGCAAGGUUACCUCCAAAUGCUUUUUCAACCAAACAACUAACGACCUUUUUUUUUUUUUAAAUAAAAAUUUGAAGACAUGGCAUAAUUUGUGCAAUGCUCAUAGCUCUUGAAGUAGGCAAGUGGGAACAAGACAUGAAUGGAUAGGCAGGAUCACAUGCAUCGUACCAAAAGCCACAUACAUCAUACUCGUUAAUAUUUUUUGUAUUUUAAACCGGUUAUCACAUCAGAAAAAUCGUCAAAUCAAAUAUAAUCUUAUUAUAUAGAUAUUAAUUUAAUCUUAAAUUUUACAAUUUCAUCAAUUUAAUUCUAAAUAUUUAUACAAUAUUUCAAUAUAGCCCUUGUGAUCAAUUUUUAAUGAAAAUCACUGGACAAUCUAAGAUAAUUAAAUCACCAUAUCAAUGAUUUUCGAUAGAAAUAGGCCAUAGAGGUUAUAUUGAUAUAUUAAACAAAAGUUUAGAUGAUUAAGUUGAUAAAAUUGUUAUAUUCUACCAAGAUUGUUUUCGGAAGUGACGCGUGAUGCAAUAGUGACGAUAUGGCACUAGUGCUGAAAUUAUUGGAAGCCUUCCAUGAGGUUUGCUCUCUGGAGUCAUUGUGAAAAUAUGGAAUGCAUUCGUACGAAUUGGCCGACACGCACUAUCCCUGAAAGCUCAAUCUGUGGCUGGCAUGGACGGAGUACAAACACGAGUUGGAAAAGGAAUGUGAACCUUCAAGAAACCUAUCUCCACGGUGACUGUUGGGGGGGCUUGUGUACACUACCUUGGUCCAGUACCUCAACUUGAACUUCACGUACAUUUUGGACCUCAAUUGCUAUAUUCUGACGUUUGAAUGAAAAUAAUAUAAAAUCAUAACAUGAUUUUUCCGGACAAAAUGAAUAUGAUCAACAUUCCGCACUUGGUCAAGUUUGACAUGUAAAUCUAAUUAAGGAAUCCUAGAAGGAAUCCUAGAUGGCCGGGGAAUCUUGUGAAGAAAAUAUAGCAGUUGAUCAACAACAUACUAAUGAUUUACCAUGAAAAGAUUGUUAAGGGACUGAGAUAGCUGAACUUAAGGAAUUUCCUAAAGAGAACAUAUGGGUUAGUUGAAGCAAUUGUUCUUCCGAUUGAGCAUCCUCGUGGAUAAUAUGAAAUGGAAAGAAUUUACAUAAGGUAAUAAAUAGAACCAAGAAUAUUUUAUACGGAGGAAGCAAAUUAUUCUUCAAAAGAAGUGUUUCGAGAAAAUUAUAACUCAGAUAAUACUUAUCUAUCUUGUCCAAAAAAAAAAAGAUAAUACUUAUCUACGACUCUACUAAUACUUUGCCAGCAUCAUCAAAAUCCCGAAUUUCAUCAAUCAAGUACUAUUCUCUACACCAUAUGCAAUUUAGAAUAAUAAAUAAAAAAGAAACCACAAUUUUGAGUAGUAAAAUUUUCCUUUAUUUACUCAAUUUCUCUCCUUCAGCAAUACACAAUUUUUUCUAUAUUACAAAUAUCGAAUGAAUUCGCGUUUUUCCUAAAUGUUUGUACAUAACAGGUUAAACUCCUGAAUUCAGUCGCUUAUUCCGAAUUUUCCAAUUGUUUUUUUUUUUUUGGUCAAACGAAUUUUCCAAUUGAAUUGGAGAUAAGAUAGAGACGACAUCUCCAUCACAUUAUGGAAAAGCAUUCAUCAAUUAUUUUUCUCAUCCAUCCGAAACGCUCAUCUUUCCGAUUCUUCAAGGCCAUCAUGACCUCUACCUUUUAGAGCCAAUGUGGAACGCAUUGCUUGCCAGCCCAAAAGGAAAUGGAAAAAAUUCAAAGCACCGACACCAUCAGUGCGUCCCAGGAACGACCAUGUGAAGUAUCUGUCCUCUUAUAGAACCGUGCAGCCGGGGCAUCAUUGAAUCUAGAGAUCAACAUCCAUAGGUUACUAUGUAGCAAAUAGUAAGUCUCCCGGUAGGGAACCAUUCGGGAAACAUACAAUAAAUGUUUUCACAAGAAAAUGAAGGAUGAGAAGCUCUCUUGACGUGUACGUGAAGCUAAGGUUUAUAAAGUUUAGGAUUUUGUCUUUUGUGGACUUCAAUCUUUGUGGCUGAACGUGUGAAUCUUUUUCUCUGGAAUUUUGGCUAUGCGCAUUUCAAAAUAUUUUGCUCCAGAAGUUAACGUUGCUAAAGCAAUAGAUUGGUGCCUACAAAUAGGGCAUUUGAAAGCUUCAGAAUGCGAAGCUUCACAAGUAAAAAGGAAAAGAGAAGUGGCUUGUCCGUCCGUGAGGGAAAGAAAUGUUCUUACUUCUUUGCUUUAGUCUUUUGGCGCGAUUGUUCCAAGUAAUAUUGGUUUUUGCGAUUUUUUUAUGAUAAACAGAAUUAAUUUUGGGACCUCAUGUUCCGAUUGUUUAUAAUAUUUCUGGUGACAAUUUGCAAUUUUUGAAAGGAAGCAAGCAACACAAAAUAUGAUCUUAAAUUGACGAAAAAAGAGAGAAACAAAAAGCAAAAUGAGUUGGGUGGCCACAUGUCUACACCUUAGAGGCUCCCUCCCCAUGCACCAUUAAUGAGUUAUAAAUAUAGACAUCAUUCAUAUUUAAUUUUAGUUAAGUUUACAUAUUGGUAUUUCUAUAAGUUGAACACCAAUCAAGAUAUAAUUAGAGGUAAUUUUUUCCAACUAGGUACAGAGGAAAAAGUGACAUCACUUAAUAACGAGGAAAAUCACUUCAAAUUAGAUACAUUAUAAUGACACUCUUGGGCUACAUGCAUUUGGAAGAAGAAUGUGAGAUCUCAUUCUUACAUUUUAGGGAAUGUUUCAUUCUACCCUUCAUGACUUUGAAUUUGGUGAGUGUCCGAUCUUGAACUUCAAAAAGCCACAUCCCUCUUCCAUCUAAUCCAAACUUGUAUUUUGUUAUGCUCAUUAACACCACUAACUUUUUUCCAUUAACAUGAAUGACACGUCUUUUAUGGGAUAAAUAAGAUAUAUAUCUUAUAUAAUCUAAAAUGCUUUUUUUGAAUGAUAUACACCUUUUAUUAAAAGAUAAAUUCUUGAUAUGACGAGCAUUGAUUGUCUAAUUGGUGACGGAUUACUUGUAAUGAAGAUUGUUUUAUUGCGUUUGCGUCACGUCCGUGGUUAAUCACAAAUUUAUCUUUGUGUUAAGUUAAACGAGUACCUAUUGGCUUUUUUGGCAUUGUAAAAGUUGUAUUUACGGAAUGAAUAGUACAGCUCCUUUCAGAUGCUCUCUUUUCCAUCCCCCAUUUGCGUCACAUCUCGUGUCACGUCCAUGGUUAAUUACAAAUUUAUCUUUGUGCUAAGUUAAACGAGUACCUGUUGGCUUUUUUGGCAUUGUAGAAAUCGCAUUUACAGAAUGAAUAGUGCAUCUCCUUUUUUUUUCCAAAAAUAGUGCAUCUCCUUUCGGAUGCUCUCUUUUCCAUACCCCCCUCCUUUUGUCCUUCCUUUUUCUUUAAUUCUUUUUCGUUAUUUUUCCUUUUUCUUUCCUACCGAAAGAACGUACUACUCCUUUGGUGGGUGGCGAGAGGGGGGGGGGGGGGGGGAGAGGCAAGGGUAAUUGUGGAAAAAACCUCAUAUUACACCUUACAAGUCACAAAGGGGUUGUAUCUCAAUUAGAUCUGAAUGAAAAAUGACCAAAACCACUUCAUUCACAGUUAAUUUGGUGAAGGAUGAUGAACCGUUAUUUCGUGAUUAGAGUCAUAAGUAAUGCAUUGAGACAUGUAAUUGCGCUUGUAUUGCAUCGGUCAAGGCCUUUCUCUAUCAUCGUGUUUCGCAAAUGGAAAAAUCGGUCUUUCGAUCUCAUGAAUCGUGGACGCAUCUCUCUCUCUCUCUCUCUCUCUCUUCCUUCCCUCUUUUCCUUUUCUGCUGGUUAUUCCAUGGUGGAACAGACCCACAGUCCCUUUGUCUCAUCGUGAAUUCACAGUGCUUGAGCGAGGUGUAAAAAGAAACGCUCGUGAUAUUUGACCGACUGCUCCCUGGGGGACCUUUGUCACUUUCAGCAUCCGUCUGUACCGCUCUUCUUUCCAAGUCUGCAAAGCCACGGACUUCUUUUUGGCGUGUCAAUGUGAAACACGCUGGUCGCGCCCACAUAAAUUAUUACGUUCCCCCAGUCAGUACGUUCCCUUUGUUCACUCUCAUUCAAGUUCUGUGCAGCAUGUGACAAGAGAUUCCGUAAUUCUUGUCUUCGACGAACAUAAUUAUCAGAAAACAACGUUUACUUGUCGAGGCUACUGUGUCCGGAAAUAGUACGGGUAAUAGUAGGGAACUAUUUGGGAGACGUACAGUAGAUAGAUGUUUCGCGAGAACAUGAAGAUGAGGAGCUAUGAAGUCAUAUGAUAAGCUGAGGUUCUUUCAAAGUUUGUGGGCUUCAAACUGAGGAAAUUAACAUAGAGUUGGCUCAGAAAUAAAAGACUUCGCUCCAAGCCUUUUUGCAUGUCAUGUGAGAAAAACAAUUGUAAUGGUAACUGUGUGACAAAUAUUUUAUUUGUGUGUUAUAAUUAUACCACAUUUACAAAUAAAUAUCUCCAGAGUUGCUCAUUAUAAUAUUUUUUGUGUUACCAUUGCCGUGCUUCCAUGCCCAACAACAAUUGAUGGUAAGUGAUAUCUACUUUUAGAACGAAUUUCAGUCUAAAUUUACCUCCACAUGAUUUUCCAGUGAAACCAUAAAUGAUCUCCUUCUUUUAUUACUAAAAAUUUGAAGACAUGGUAUAAUUUUUGCAAUGCUCAAUUGCUCAUAGCUCAAAGCUGGAUAGUCACGAUGAUUACCUGAUUCGGAAUACUACCCAACCCACGUGGUGGGGGGCAUGAAGUGACGUUUUCUUUGACAAAAAUCGAGACCAGAAAAAGCAUAGUAGAAGAUCUUGCUUACAUAGAUUUAUCUCUCGACAAUAUCACAAAGAUUUAUCUCUUGACAAUAUCUUCCGGUAGCUUUACAAUUACUUGUAUCCGUACUUAAUUUGCUCUUUCGUUCCCAACAACUUUCCUUCCGACUCAAUGAUUCUCCUUUCCAUGACUCCCUUCAUUUUGAGCUUUAUUAGCUAUUUAUUCAGUCCUGCGAAUUCACUAUUAGAACUGAUAAAGAUAAUUGGAGAAGUUCAUCAUUGAUAAGAUUCUGAUUUUUAUCAUGAUAUUAUAGGUUAAUCAUCUUGACUUACACGUUCUUAAUGAUCUAUCACGAACUUUUCGAGUAAGAUGUCGGUCAAAAAUAAAGAAUUUAGAUGAAUGGACAUUCAAGAUUUAACUAUGUGAUCUUUUGAUGACACUAAUCAUUCUCAAUAACCUUAGCUUUCCCACAUGUUUAAUCAACAUAACCUUAGCUUUCCCACAUGUUUAAUCAACAUAAUACUUGACUUGGAGGAAUCAUCUCUCCGUCUCUCCUAGACUCUUGAAAUCAAUUUUGACAUCCCAAACAUAAUAGAUUCACAAGUAGCAAGUAUUUUUUAGCCGGUUCCAAAAGUAUAAAUACUCUGAUUCCAUGGUUCGUUAGAAGUUUCGCAUAUUUUACUAUUUGGUUGUGCUAUAACAAUAGAAAUAAUAGAACAUUUUCUUUAGAUGUGCACGCAAUCACUUGGAUGGAUGGGUUUUUUUUUCCUCUUUAAUGUGUAGUCGAGCCCUUUCUUUUUCACCGAUUUUGAAAAAGGAGGCAUUGAUGGUUGCAAUUACUAAGCUUUAUUUUCUAUGAGUGUAAGUAAUUUCUAGAAAAUCUCAAUUCCUCCAAUGACAAUGUUUAAAUCCCAAGGAGGUUAGUUCGAUAUGGUGUGCUUUGCUAAUCUCUGCCCUCCCCUUGCAUUUCGCAAUACAAAUGCAACCCUUUACGUGUUUAUUCCUUUGCGAAACUCAAGCAGUCUCUUUGAUUAUAAUACUUACCAAUGGCAGCAUUGUUUCUUACACGAAAGAUUAGUUUCGCAGAGCAAAGGACGUAGCAAAAAUGCGAUUCCUAAUCCUGCUCUUGCAUGCAGUGAUGCUUGCUCCUCUUUAGAAAUUACUCAAAAUUUUUUUUUUCUUUUUAAUUGUGUAUAAUGUGAUGGUGGAUUGUCCAUUAAUAGGGGGCUUUUUAUUUUCGUGGUUGAUCAAGUACCACCGAACAUGAGAAAAAUUAUUAUCGAAGAUGACAUGGUGCCUGCAUCGCUGAGAUAUGGCAAGUAAUGUGGGCUGCUAUACAACAUAUAGACGUUCAGGAUUGAGACCUUGCGAUGGCCUCACCAAUUGCUGCAUGAAGUAAGACGCCCGCAUCCAAGUUUUCAGCCCAAAAUGAAAACCGCAAAUAUUAAAAAGAACCAGAAAACCCAAUUGAAGUUCUAAGGGGCCUAACGGUUAAAGAAAAAGUUUUAAUUUUAGUUUUCAAUGUAAACGAAAAUUUUUCAUUUCCGGUCUUUCGUUCCCUUGAGCAUAUGCUCGGCUUGUAGAAAUAAGAACUUCGUAGAAAUAAGAACUUCUAAUAGGAAUGUAAAUUUAGACCUGUUUGCCGUGCCUUUGCAAUCCGUCAUUAUGCACCUUCUCCAGCAAAAUUUACCCAAUUGAGUUGGAAUUAAUAGAUAUCCUCUCUCGAUGGGAAUCCUACCCCAAUGGUGGUAGUUUACACCCAGAAAACCCUAAUGCUCUUCACUGAAUACAGCAGUCAUUUCAUCUAGUCUCUACCAAGAUGCAAAUCUCCCGUUUCCUUUUCAACUUUGGCCCUUUACCAAAAAUCCCCAACCUUCCUAUAAAUCAUGUUCACCGUUCCAUAAGCUAACCCCAACCCAGCUUCUGAUACAACCCGAUCUCCAUUCUAUAGCAUCACGCCCUACAAGCAUAGGGCAUGCAAUCAAUGACCAUAAUAUCAUCUGAAAGCAACAACCUUGGUUAAUCCUCGCCCAAAUUUCAAACCCAAAAUCCCGACCUACCCCAUUAGCCUCCCAGAACGUUGCAUUGUCUUUGGACAGCAUUUUGCCAUUACAGUGUAUAGUGAUACAACCCCAAGAAUGAAUUUACAGGAAUAGCUGCUUCUAGCGUACUUCUCACAGGGAGUAAGGUGCCUGCCUCUCGUGCAUCUUCAAUGGAAGAAUUCGACACCUCAGAUUAUCGAGUUGCUAUCCUCUGCAGAAAAUUGGGCAAUUUUUGGUCGGAAAAAAGACCUGGCAGAGAUAGAUGGUAUGGUCCCAACUGAGAGAAUACAGAAUGUUGUCUAACUAUGUUUGGGCAAUUGUUCUACAACCCCAAUAACAAUCUCCAAGCCUUCCAAAACACUAUGGAGGGGGCAUGGAGAGUGGAUUCAGUUACCUUGGAUCGAGUAGACUCAAGAACUUUAGCCUUUAUCUUUAAGUUUGGAAAUGAAAUGAACAGAAUUCUUGAGACAAGGCCUUGGUCUUUCUCUAGCAAUCCUUUCGUGCUUAAACCAUGGACAUCGACCACUUCGCAGUACAGUUACAAUUACACACAUUAUGAGUUUUGGGUUCAAGUGCACAUAUUACCUACAGAUAACCAUAAGGCAAAUAGCAGCAGCAGUAGGCUUGGUAACUGAAGUGAAAAUUGAUACAAAGGGGUUUAGCUCCUAUACAGGUGGAAAAGCUAGAGUAAGAACUGAUUUAUUGUCCCCCUUGAAACCUGGGACAUUUGCCAGCCAAGGAGGAAAGAAACUAUGGGUCGACUUUAAAUAUGAGAGAUUACUGCACUUUCGUUAUGCAUGUAGUUGCAUAGGGCAUUAUGCUAAGUUCUUUGAGGAAGAAGAAUAUGACGAGAACUGGUUAGAAAUUGAUGAUCCUAGUUGCUUUGGAAGAAGAGCCCUCUUUGGAAGCUGUUCUAUGCAAAACCAGAGGAUAUAAUCAUAGACGAUGAGAUUAUUCCAGAAACUCCUAUCCCCACCCUGCAAAUGGUGUCCUAUGAGCCUACGGGAAAGAAUCCAUUGGUUCCUAGUAGUGGGAACAAUCUGGGAAAGUCAGCUUAGAUUUUUACUGAGGAGAUAGAAGCAAUUGGAAAACGUGGCAUCAGUCCAUAUAAAAACAAAGAAAAGAGCUUGACGUUGAUAACAACUCCAAACCACUCUACACUGCUGGAAGGCAGCUCAAAAAGGCCCCCAAAAAGAAAUGUAGCAAGGGGAAGAAAACAGGUGGAAACAAAACACAGUGAAGGUAUAGUCCUUACGCUUCUCAAAAGGUGAACUCUCUUGCCUUAAAUGAGACCAAACUUCUGUAGACUCCAAUUCAGGUUUUGGAGGAUCCUAAGAUACGGGCUUCGAUGGUUAUCACUAAUAAGCCAUUGAGGUUCCCAUGAUAAUUUUUUGCUGGAAUUAUUAGGGGUCAGACACACCCAAGGCAAUCUUGCCAUUGAGGUCUGGAAAGGCCCAGCAUUAUUUUUCAGAUGGAAACAAAGAAUCAAGAUUUGUGGUAUGAGCUUGAAACGAAUCCAAUUCCAGAACUGUGCAGUGAUGAAUUCAAAUGGAAUUGUAGGGGGAUCAGCAAUUUUACGGAAUGACAUGGUUGCGCUAACAAUGGAAUCAAUCACAAAUGAAAUGCUUGACCUAAUAUGUACAGAUAGUGGAAAACAUAUGAGAAUUACCUUUGUACAUGCUCCAAUAAUCAGCCUCCAAAACCAGCUUCCUUCGAUUUGGUUUGGUUUUUUUUUUUUUUUUGUUGUGGGGGGGGGGGGGGGAACUGAACUUUGAUGAAAUUUUGUAUCACUGGGAAAAAGUACACAAGCAUAUGGUGGAGCACCAAAGGUCAAUGGCUUUUUGAGAUAUUAGACAUUAUAAAUGCAUGAUCUUUAAUGGAUCUUGAAUGUAAAGGAUGUGCAUUUACAUGGGCAAAUAAUAGGAAUGGGGAUGCCCAUGUGAAAGAAAGACUAGAUAGAGCUCCAUGCAAUGUAGAAUGAAGAGUGACAUCCCAGAAGUGGAAACGUAUGCCUCUUAUAGGCACCAACCAUAGUCCUAUCUUGCUAACUCUCUCAACGGAACCUGCAAAAAGAAAGAGAUAAAUUAAGUUUGAAGCAUACUAGCUUAAAGAUAAUGAAUGUGGUCAGCUAGUAAGUUUAGUGUGGAAUUCUCCAGGCAUGGAAAUGAACAUUUUCUGAAGAAACUACAAGAAUAGAGGCCCUAACGAAGUGGAGCAAGCGGAAGUUCUCUAAUGUUAAUAGUCAAAUCAACUGCUUGAAUAGGGAGCUUUAGGAGUCAACAAAUGAGCUGAGCUUGCAUCAUGACGGACAAAAUGCAGCAACUGAAAAUGCAAUUGAAGAUCUGUGGAAACAAGGAGAAAUGUAUGGGGGUAUGCACUCAAGAAUAUACUGGCUGAAUAGGAUGAUAGAAAUGCUGAGGAAGCCCAAUAGAAUGAGCACAACAUGCUAAUCUCUCGUUUUGAUGAGCAUUUAGUAAAUGAUAUUCUAGCUAUCCCGCUCUUAACGCCGAUGAAGACUAGCUAGCGUGGACAUGCAACCAAGCAGGGGGCUAUGCUGUUAAAAGUGGCUACAAACAACUCCAGGACAUUGAGACUAAGCAUGAAGCAAAUCAAGCCUCAUCGUCCUCCCAAACUCCAAAAGCCCUUUGGACUAAGGCAUGGAAUCUAAAGACAACCCAAAGUAAGGGUGUUUAUGUGAAGUACCAUUCUCUCGUUCUGGAGCUUGGCUCUCUCCGUCUGGGUUCCAUCAACGAAUCUUCAGUUCCCAAAUGCCUCCGAAGAUCACGCCACCUAAGCCAUCGGGUUCCAUCAAAAGACAUAUUUUUAUCUUCAGUUCGCCGCUAUGAAUCUUCCUUCUCUCUCAGAAAUGAAUCUCCUAUUCUCGAUUUUGCCAAUAAAGACACUUUUUUUUUACCUGGCCAAAUGCCCCGAACCAGACAUUUUUCCCCUGUAAUGAAAAAGCAGAGGCAUUCCCACGCAGCCCUACAGAUAAAAAGGACGUACCUAAGUCAGUCAAAUCUCAAGAAAUCCCGAAAAUGCCACACCAAGUUCCCGAAAAGCCUCAUCCAUGCAGUGCAAGAUUCCUUUUUAAAAAAAAAAAAAAAAAAAAAACUCAGUUCAGGAUACAUAGCGAGCAUGGCAACUGGUUUUGAGAAGGGAUGUUUUCUUAUGGGAGCUGACGAAAAAAACUGCCCGUGGUUUUGAGGAGAAGUCACACCCAUCUUUGGAAGCCAAAACACACGAGAAAGGAAGGAAGAGAGUGUAUUCAUACGCAGGAGGGGGAGAGAGGGAGUGAAAAUUUAACCGACUUAUUUUGAUUGUAUUUUCAGCAAUUGCUCGGACGGUGGGGCAUUUGUCUGAGAGUUCUGAGGUUAUGAAGCUUGUGAAAGCUCCUGAAAUGGCUGUUCCCAAGGUACAUUUCCUGUAUCGGUUGAUACUGUAUCCGUUGAUGUGAUUUUAUAAUUUGCAUGAUGCACUCUCUCCUAUGGGGGUUUUGUCAAUUGUGUAUUUGCAUAUUAAUGUUCCUUUUCUUGUGAAUGUUCAUAUUCAGAAUGAUGAGGGUGAUGCUUAUAUUCAAGCUUUUUCUGAUGAUAUGUGGCUGUUGAGAGACAACGGAAACUUUAUCUCCUUUUCGGCUUUAUCAUUUUCAAAUACACUGAUAGUUUGAACCUUCAUGAGUGGAUGAGAGAUGAGAUAAUGGUAUGAAUGACUAUAUCAACAUGACCUUAUAAUGCAUAAUUCAAGAAUAUUAUCUUGAGCAAUUUGGGAAUGUUAGUUCUCCAUUUCUUGCUCACUUGCUGGAAUAUGGCUUGUGAAGUGGGAAAAAGUUGGAAAUGCAAAUUGUGAAAUGUUUUUGUUACUUCUGAUCAGAAAGUUGUGAAAACAAUGGGUUGUGGAGUAGCCUGCAUCCUGCGGCAUAUGAAUAGCAGAGGCAUAUAUUUGAUUGCUGGAUGUAGCUUGUUUAUAUGAUAUAUAGGCUGGUGUGAUGGAAGAAUUUGUGAAUGACGCGAUUGACACAGCUCUUGACACGGAGGACAUGAAGAGGAGAUAGAUGAAGAGGUUGAUAAGGUCUUGACAGCCAUUGCCGGUGAGACAGCUGCCCUUCCAGUGGUAGUGAGGAAGCAAAAGGUGAAGCAAUCUGCUCAACCUAUCAACCUACUGCAGAAGAGGUACAUCUGCUAGUUCCCUUACUGAUGGAACUUAUUUUUGGUCAUUCUUUUAUUUCCCCGAUAGGGAGCUAAUUGAGAAACAAUCACUGCUGCAUUCUUACUUUUUUCAUUUAUCAAUGAAUUUGGAAUUUGUAGGAUGGGCGGUAGCCGAGGGUGUUGAUGAUGAGGAAGAACUAGAAGAAAUGAGAGCUCGCCUUGCAGAAGUUAGGUCUUUAGUUCCAAUUUUUCUAUUGUUCCACACUUUUGACAGCCCAAAAGGCAGGGAAAGGAGGGGCAAACUCUAUUUCGCCUAACAUGGGAGGAACGCGAGUCCCCUUUACUGUAUUCUGAUUGAUGUAGAGGAGAUCCUAUACAAAACUUGAACGGUCGAUGAAACAUGGUGUAAUGAUGUAUAAAUAUGCAAGUUAUGUAUAAACUUGAGCUUGUGGUGAAUAUUGGGUACGUGGGUCGACAAAUUUACCAAUAUUGUGUAACACCUGAGCCAGAGCUUCCAUUCUUUCAACAGGAGCAGAGAUGGAGCAAGUGUCAGGUGAUAGGGGAGCGGCCGCUUGACGAACCUUGGAGCAGCAACAAUAAACGCGGCGUAGCAAAUGAGAGCAAAAGCAAAGAUUCAAAUUAAAUAUUAAGCAUUUUUCAGCUCUAAAUGAAAAACACAAAUAAAGAAAAGAACUAGCAUACCCAAAUUGAAGUUGGUUCAUGAAAAAAGGUUUUAGUUUUCGUUUUCAAUGUAAAGGAAAAAUAAAAGAUCUUCAUUUCUCCUUCUUUUUUCCUCUUGAAAAUAUGUUUGGUUAGUAAAAGAACUUCGGAUAGGACUCAAAAUUUAAACAUGUUUGUGGUGUCUUAGCAAUCCAUCAUUUUGUACAUUCUUUGAACUAAUAAUCCCAUCUUUUCAUUUGGUGAUUACAAAGUACCAUAGCCGGCUAUCAACAAAAAUCGUCUUAUGAAGUAGGAGAUGCCGAUGAAAUUGGCAAUACAUCUCUACCACGAAUAAUGCGACCUGCUUCAUUUACCUUUGAAAGGAAACUAUUAAAACAUCCAUUUUCAAGAGGCAUCUAAACCUCUCCUCUCUGUACAUGCAACAAAAAUCUUGGAUACAGUCAAAAGAGCCUAUGAAUUAGUUGAGUACUCUAGAACUUGAUCGGUAGGCAAAAUUCCAGCCAAUGGCCUUACAGUAGCGUCUCUGGAUAGACAUACUUGACUUUGAUUGGGUAUAGUAGCUUGAAGAGCGAUGCGGUUCGAGGUAGCCAGUCUCUUAGGUCCCUACUUUUUCAGGGCGGAUGAAGUUACUGAUAAGUAGGAAAUCUUUAGCACAAAACUAGACUAAGAAAAUUAGAACAUCACAUACUAAAAGCCAAAACCCUGUUAUCCGAUGAGAGAAGUAAGGCCUUGUACAUGAGAUCUGGUGUCCCUGAUCAUCGAUUCAGUAUAGAGACGAGACGAAGGUACCAUGGAAUCCAUAGGGUGCCCUUUCAGGCAGUCAUUUUUUCCAUUGGCUCACCUUUUAACUUGUGCGCUUCAAUCACAAGAACCUGCAGAUUUCACGAUUUCAAAAUCACAUCAAACGUCGUUACUGGUAGGCAAACCUACUUGAUGAUUGCAUUGAAACUCUUAAACUUAACCUGGGAUACAUCUGUUUCCUCGUUAUGUACCCAAGAGACGAUCCAACCACUGUCCUCUCCGAGACCAUCUUUCUUAGGGACAACACACCUGCUGCAGAAACUGUCCUUCUCGAAAUUAUGGUACCUGGCCUUCAUCAACUUCUAGUGAUAUCUUCCCCUCUAAUUCAAGGUCAAGGCCGCAGUGAGGAACAUUUCGACAUGUACAAUGGAUAAUUAGAAUGACUCGAAAAACUUUCAGUAAUACCUCAGAGGCAGACAGCCCAGGACAAGGUUCGUUGAAGUAUAAUUUCACUAGACCUCCAUAUUAGCCAUUCCUGAAUCAAACGAGUGAUGCAUAAACAAUAGGAAACUGAUCUUAUGCGCUACUUUGGGGAAAUGGACAUGGACUUGAGAGUAGAGACUGGCAUUGCAUUACCACUUUCAGAGCUUGCUCUGAAUUGAUGACUUGAGCAUAACCAUACCCAUUACGCAAGCUAGUGAAUUCGGCAUUUAUGAAAGGGAAGUCUAUAGAGAAUUCAGUGCCCAUAAGAUUCGACUCCUGAACUUCCCCUGUUUCCUUGUUCAAUCUCCACUCAUAGGCACAGGUAAACAGAUAGCCUCCAUGUUUGUUAGCAUUUGCAUCCACCGGUUCUCUAAAGUUGAAUCCUCUCGAGAACCAAUCGAACGUGUUCAUACCCCAAUCGGGACACAGAAACACCACUGUAAGUGAUCUGCAUCUUCUCACCACAACCUGCAUUGCUGGUCAAUGUCAUUAUAGUUGAGGCUUAGUCUAAAAGGAUUUUAAUUUUCAAAUUAGGCUACUAGGAAAAAUAUACCUCAUAACCAUCCCGAAAGCAAUUGAUAUGUGAAAUGUGCAGCUUGAUUCUACAAAAAACCAUUGGACUGAACUCGCAUCUCCAUAACGUAGCAUCACCCCUAUCCUCGGAUAUCUUCCUGGUCAUAUUUCAGUAACCUACAUUCCAAGAAAACGAUUAGCUGCUUCAACAAACUGAAAAACUGUCACCAAGAAAGGCAUUACCAGCUCCUGCAAAUCAAUGCUACAUCGUGAGAUCAACUUGUUAUCUACUGAAUCAUGCUGUAAUGUGCCAGUGAGGAAUCUCCAUGUUUCCAGAGCAGUCUUGACACCAAAACUUUCAUAAAGCAAUUACAACGUCCAGCUCUGCCUACAUUCCUGUGCCAAAACAAAUAGUCCAUUUACACAGGCACUUCACUCCUAAUCUCACAACAGAACCACCUCCGCAUAUGGUUCUCUUCAGGUUUCAUGUCCCAGAUCAAAAUAGCAUCGUUUCUUUUAUCGUGUAUAGCACGAUAUAGUAUAUCUUGCUAUUUUGAACGUCCAUAAUCAGCAUCAAUGGAACCAAUCCACCUUGCACAGCAUAAAAAUUCCAAUGCUUGAAUGAUUAUAGCAUAAAAUCAGAAUAUGUUUUUUCCAGAUGGGAUGAAUUUGAUUGAUAGUCUGGCCUUGGUCAAAUCUGACACGUAAAUCCGAUCAAUGAAUACUCUGGUGAAGAAAAUAUAGCAGUGUAUCAGAACACACAAAUUAUUUACCACGAAAAGGAAUGGUUAAGGGACUGAGAUAACUAGAGUUAAGGGAUUUUCUGAAGAGUACAAAUGGCUUAUUUGGAGCAAUUGAUCUUCCAAUUGAGCAUCCUCAUGUAAUAUACGAAAUUGAAAGUAUCUGCACAAGCGAACAUGCAUAACCAAAUAGAUUUCAAGGGAGAAGCCAAUCAUUCUUCAAAAGUAGAACUUCGAGAAAAUCAUUUUUUGAAGUAUUUGCAGCAGUUAAAAAUAUUUUCAUAUCAGGAAAAAUGAAUCCUGAUUUAAAUAGAACCCACAUUACUCUAGUUCCAAAAAUUCAUAACCUAGAAACCCUUGAUCAAUUCUGCCCCAUUAGUUUGUGCAAUUUUGGCCUAUAAAAUCAUAUCCAAGGUAAUCGUGGAUAGACUCAAAACUUGGUCAUCGAAAUUGAUAGCUCAAUAGCAAAGUGCAUUUAUGAGUGGGAGACUUAUCCAGGACAAUAUCAUGAUAGUGCAGGAAGUGUUGCAUCAACUAAGAGCAAAGAAGAGGAGGAAAAAAAUUCCUAGCGGUUUUGAAACUUGAUACGAAAAAGGCGCAUGACAGAGUAGAAUGGGACUUGUUGGAGGCAUGCUUAAGGAAACUGGCCUUUGAUGAAAAGUGGAUUACAUGGGUUUGAAAUGUGUAUCUUCAGUCUCAUUUAGUGUUAAAUAUAAUGGGAAUCCUCUUCCUUACUUCCAACCUUCCAGAGGACUUCGGCAAGGUGAUCUUUCAUCCCCUCAUCUCUAUAUUUUUGUGGCAAACAUUUUAUCUUUUAUGAUGAAUAAAACAGUGGAGGAUGGCAGUAUCGAGGGUAUUAAGCUCAACUCUUCUUCCCCUACCAUAUCACAUCUCCUAUUUGAGGAUGAUUCCAACUUCUUUUUAGAGUGGAGAAUUCAAGAAUGCCAAUCUAUAUCAGAUGUAAAAUCAGUAUGGUUUUGCUAUUGGACGGGAGAUAAACCUAAACAAAUCAGGAAUACUCUUUAGCUCAGGGUGUCCACAGACCAUAAGAGCCAAUAUGGCUUAUGAAUGGCGUGUCUUAGAACUGGAUAAAACAGGAAAAUACCUCGAAACUCCUUUGGAUUGGGGAGAGUCUAAGAAGAAUAUGUUUUUCCUGGAUACUUGGAAGAUUUAACAAAAAAAUGGAAGGUUGGAAGGAAUCUUUAAAUUCUAAAGCAGGAAAGGAGAUAUUACUAAAAAAACAGUAGCACAGGCUCUUCCUCAAUAUGCAAUGUCAAUUAACAAGAAUCCCCUUUCCAUACGUGAAGUGAUUGAACACAUAAUGGCAGCAUUUUAGUGGAAAAGCAGAGAAUUUCACUCUGGUAUUUUGGAAGAGUUGGGAUUUCUUGAAUCAAAGGAAAGACAAUGGAGGCAUGGGAUUCAAAGAUUUACUUUCUUUUAACAAAGCUUUCUUAGGAAAGCAAGCCUUGAGAUUAAUGCACCAGUCUUGCUCUUUAUGGGGUCAAAUUUUUUAAGGCAUUUACUUCCCAAAAAGGAGUUUCUGGCAUGCUGGGAAAGGGCAUAGACCCUCUUGGGGUUGGCAAAGUUUACUAGAGGGAAGAGACUCAAUCUUAGAAUCUUCAAUGUGGACAGUAAAAAUAGGAGAAGCAAUCAAUAUCAUAUAGGACAGAUGGUUGAAAAGAGGUGUAAUUGGAGGGCCAGUGAGUGAAAAUGACCCGCAACAGGUAGUAGAGCUUAUAAACCACAAAGAAAAUUCCUAGAAUGAACCUCUUCUUUGAAAUAUUUUCCAAGAGGACAUCGCGAAGGAAAUUCUAGCUAUUCCUCCAACAACCCACUCUAUUCAAUACAAACUGGUGCGGACAUAUUCAUCAACAGGAAAUUACUAGUAAAGAGUGGCUUCAACUACAUAAAACUUACCUAGAAUGUCCGAAAAACUCCAAUAGCCUCCUCAUCUUUCCGGGCUCCUCAGGCUUUAUGGAAUAGGACCUGGAAAAUGCAAACAAUCCCUAAAAUUAAUCUCAUUCUAUGGAAUGCAUGUCAGAAUAGUCUGUCCACAAUGGAGAACUUAUACAAGCGAAAAAUAGUAUUGGAUCCUUAUUGCUCACUGUGUAGAGACUAGGUGGAAUCACCAGAGUGUCCCCUUCUCCUUUUGUCCUCGGACGCGAGACAUAUGGGCUUAACCAUCCCUAAACAUUCAGGUUUCUCCCCAGGGUUAAGCAGAGUAGAGAUAAGGCUAAUGCAAUUCCUCAAAAGCACGGAAAACCCACCUUCUUUGGCACUAGUAGCAACCAUCUUUCAGCUUAUUUGGACUUCCCGUAACAACUUCAUAUUUCGAAAGAAACCCCCAGACCCAGUUCAAGCACUACAGGGGAGCUCUAUCUUCUCUCGCCAAUUGCAGGAGAUGGAAUUCACAGCAAAAACUCGGACCUUGACGCUCCCACCUCUUCUGAGAACUGGAAACCCCCCAAAGGUCGGAUCUUUAGAGGUCAACAUUGAUGAAUCCCUUCGUUGAAAGCUCCAUGGAAGGAGCAAUCGCCUGCAUUAUUCGAAACUCAGAAGGGACGCUUGUGGAUGCACACAUAAUUAUCUCACAGCUGCGUAUCGCCCCCAUUGCCAUCGUGAAACCAACUCCAUUGCAAAAGGACUGGAUUUCUUCCCCUCCCCAAAUCUGGGUGGAUUUACUUUGGAAGGAAGCCCAGUUCAGGGACCCUGCAUUUUCAAAUUGAAUAAAAGUAAUCGGUUUAUGAUCCACCAAAAAAAAAAGCGAGUAGGAAAUGUUGAUGAAAUUGGCGAUACAUCUCGACAAUGAAGCGUGACCUGCUUUUAUUUACCUUUGAAAGGACGUGAAUCGUUCCGACAUCUUGGCCAAAGUGCUCUACUGAUCGGAGCGUUAUUUGCAUGAACCGAUGGUUUCUCUGCUGCAGUAGCGCAAUGAACGAUAUUCCAUCAAGUUGCGUCGCCGAACGGCUUUUAGAAUUUAGACGCCUCGAUUCCUGGAGCUCUGUGAUUUCCAGAAGUUCAUCCGAAAUUGACCCCCCCAUCAUUCCGUAAAACCUCCGAAAUUCGACAGGUGUGGUCAAUUUGUUGAGGCCUUGCAGUUGUCCCUCUAUGUAAAUGAGCGUAACACAGUUUUGACUCUCUCCAGGCCCUGAACUUCCUCAAGAUUCCAACACCCUCGAAUGUCCAAUAGUCUAAGGUUAUCGAAGAGCGAGAGGUUCGGUAAUUUUCUAAUGGAAUUGCACCCCCACAUACUUAAAUAUGUCAAUUUUUUCAACCCCUCUAGGCCUUCAAUUUCGACUACAUCAUGGCAUUCAGAGACCACUAAUUCCCUCAGAUCUGUUAAUUGCGAAAUGUUGAGUCUUGUAAGGGUCUGGCAACGAGUAAUACUUAGCACUUCCAAGUUUUCAAUAUGCCAAGGCAUAGAACUUGAAAUAGAGGAUCAUUUAUUAGUGAAGCGUUUAAGUCUUCUAUUUCCAAUUCUCUCAAAGACUCUAGAUGUUCAAGGCCGUUGAGGUUGGGCAACUUAUUACAUCCAAACAAAAAUAGUCUUCCUAAAGAUUUUAAUCCUUCCAAACCCUUGAUUUCCAUCAGCUCACCACAGAAGACGAUGUUAAGGUUCAAGAUUCCUGAAGGAAGCAAUGGGAUGGAUUCCAAAAAUUUGCAAAUUUGAAAACUUAGCUCUUUUAGAUGGAUUAAGUGAGAAAGUUGAGGCAAUUUGCAAUUUUGACAAGUGACUUUCAAAACUGUUAAGUUGGCAGGAAAAUCGCAAUUAGUGAAAUCAAGGUGUUGUUGAGAAGAUAGGUCACUGAACAUUUGUAACGAUAGACCGUCUUGUUCUUGCAAUUCAAAAUGAUCUUCGGCAUGGCAAAGCUUCCCAAGUUGAAGGAUCUUCAAUGAAGACAACCCAUUUAUAGGAACACCCCCCUUGCAAACUCUUGCAGGCUCUGGCAUCUAAUUCUUAAAGUUUGCCCAACUUGCUAAUAGUACUAGGUAAACUACUCAAUUCUUUACACCCAACAAUUUUCAAAAUCUUCAAAUUUUCCAAGUCCCUGAUGGAUUCAGGUAAUUCUGAAAUUUUUGCACAUAUCAAAUGCAAUUCAAUCAAUGAUUUUAACUUCCCAAUUGAACGGGGGAUACAAUCAAAACAAUAAAUAUCUUCAUACUCCCAGGCCCCCCAAUCUUCAUAUGGAAAAGCUAUAUUGCCUAGUAACAGGCGCUGUAAUUUCACAAGCAAUCCAAUGCUCUCUAGAAAUCCUUUAAAUUUAGGGCAAAAUCUCAAGUCAAGAGUUGACAAAUUUACCAAAUGGCCAAUUGAGUCAGGAAGCUCUUGGAGUCUCCAACAACUGCUCAAGUUCAAGGAAGUGAGGCACUUAACAUCUCCAAUUGAAGGGUUGAUUUCCUCUAAUUUAUGGCAAUAUUCCAGGAUUGGUAUCUCUAAACUUUUAAACGUAGAGAGAUUAGGGGUUCUCACUAAAUCAAAGCAAUGCGAAAGAUUGAGAACUUUCAACCUCUCCAUCUACAAGAAAGAAACAUGUUCCAAGAUUAGCAGAUGGAAAUAGAAUGAUUCAUCAUCAAAUGUAACAAAAGAGAAAGCAUUUCUCAUACUUACCUUGAUUGAACUCCAUCCUCUCCAUUCAUGACUGAUAUAACCAUAUGAUAAAUCAAGUAUGAGUAAUUUCUCCAAAUGAAGAUUAGUUGCCCCGAAAGAAUUAGGACAUUCGUCCCACUUUAGCCAUCUUAAUUCAGAAAGUGAAUCCUCAAAAUUUCCAACAUAAUUCACUUUACUCUGAUGAAGGAACUUCAGAUAGGGCAUCCUUUCGAAGCUCCUUCUAUUCAUGAACAUGUUUGAGCCAUUUUCAUCCAGACGUAGUGCCUCAAUAUAUCUAUUUUCUUCCUACAAAAAAAAAAAAUAAGGAUAGUAAAUAUCAGCACAAGGCAUUCCCUGAUCUUGACAUGAAUACAAAGUGUCAUUAAAUAAAGAAUAGCAUACUGCCCAACUGCCUUUUGUUAGCAUACGUCCGCAUGCUAUUGUGACCAAUGCAUUUUCUCUCCACUUAUAGAGUACAUAUGAUCUUUUUAUAACCACACAAUCAUGUUGCAUUUCAAUUUUCAAUUUCAUGCCACAAAUUUUGGUGAUAUCGUGUAAAAUUCCUCCAUGAAAUAGUCUAGGUUUCUUAUAAGAUUUUAUAUUAAAUUCUGUAACUCACGAAGUAUUGACUACCAAGUAUUCGCUCCACUGGAGCACAUAUGGUGUCCCUUUGCAAUUGUGAGAACCGUUAGACUUUGGACAAAAAAGGGUACCCAAUCGGAUUUAUUACAAGCAUUUAUGCAUUCAUAAAGCAUGACAACUUAUUUCCUUUCCGUUCAUGAAAUAUUGUUCAUUUUGGCAUAUGGUUGAAUGGAAACGAGAGUGUUCGGUCAUUUUUUCUCUAGAAGCGCAAUUCUCUGUGUAUUUAUUUCUUUUUCGAUAGACAACUUUUGUGCAAUCGAAGCAGUAUCUUUUCGUUUCAUUGAAAAAUAAUAGGUUUUCAAAUUAAAACGCAACUACGGGAAAAAUAAUUGACAAAACCUCUCUUUUUUGAAAAUUGCUCAUCAAUAAAAAAAGAAAACACAUUACGGCCAAUAAAAAUUGCACAUUCUUUAGGGCACAAAAGCCUAUAAAAGUAGGUUAACAAAAAGUUACAAUUACGCAAUCACAUUAAGGACGUGCAUCUAUAUUGGGAAUUUCAUUGGUCUUUCUUUUUACCUUUAGGUAUUGUCCUUUCACUAUAUACCCUUUUACAACUCCAUACGGAUGUCUCUCUGUUUCCCCAAUUAUCACUUUAUUUGCAUGUUGCGUGACCAAAACUUUCCAGAAAUCCACAGUUUGCUAGAGAAGAAAGAAAUUGAGCAAGGGAAGUUGAGCUUGACUUUUCAAUUUUGGAGAUUCAAGCUCGAAAAGAUCAACACUACUCUAAGAUAAGCGCACUGGUCAAUCAGCCGUCCUUCAAUUUGCGCCAGUUGAAUAAUAUCAAUUAUCGAGCAGGUAGUCUUCCAUCUAUUAGAGUUUCUAUUUUCAUCCCAACAGUUUUACUUUUCUUACUUAUAUCAUAGCGUCAUUUGAAUUUUUACAUCAAUUGCAAAGAGCCGACAAUGAAAGAGACUGAUUGCUUCUUUCACAUUUUUGCAUGCGCGAUAGCAUAGUGAGUUUUAGUACGCAUGAUUGCAAGACCAAAUUUAUUGUCUCAUGGAAUUGAGUGAGAUUAAAAUUAAAUAAUCCUAACGAUCUAAUACUUUAACAAAUUAUCUUCAUGUAUUUCCUUUGUUCUUUGAUUUGGUCAAUUUUUGCUAUAGUGAAAAAAGAUUCUUUUGGUGCCGGUUUGCCAUGAGAAUCAAGAUACAAAUCAGCCUGAUCUUACGAAUUUGUAAGCGCAUUUGUGCAUUCACCUGUUCAUGUAAAAAUCUCUGAAUUGUUAUACCAGGUUGGCGAUCAUUACUAUUAUUUUCCUAUUUUUCCAUUCUCUCAUUUUUUUUUUUUGCUUCUCUUGUUAUCCUCUUUUAUGAAUUAAGGUUCCAUUUGUUUCACAAAAAUAAAUGAUUUGAAAAAUAUUUUCUUAAAAAUAAUCACUUAUAUUGCUUACAAAAAUAAAUUAACAAAAUAUAUUAUCAUUAUCUACGAAAAUAUUUAGACAUAAAUUAUUAUUUUAAAAAACCUUUUAUUGACUAAUUAUAUCAACAAUACAAGCAAUUAUUUUUUAAGAGGAUAUUUUCCAAAUUAUUCAUUUUUUUUGUGAAACAAGCAAAGCCUAAAUAUUGAUCUUUUUCUUCGCUCCUAUAAUCCUAUCAAAUCCAACAUCUAAUAUCUAACAACAGUAUUUUAUUUUUCAAUCUUCCUUCUUGUCCAUGUGUGAGCGCCUGAAAGGCUCUAUAAAUCCUUCCGAAGAAAGGCUCGCUCAUUACACAAUAAAGGUGGAUAUUGAACUACACUAAGUGCAGAUAAAUUGAAAACGAGUAAGAUAUAGUUUCUUUCACCUUUCACCAGUCCGUCACUUACUUCCUUCAGUCAUUUAUUUUCUUAAUUUUGAUCUUUACUUUUCAGAUUUUUAUUGAAAAUUACUUUGUAUAAACACGUCCAAAAUCAUGUUUCAAUUGUUACUUCUCUUUUUUUUAGCCGUAAUUUACUGUUUUUUGAUUUUGCACAAUAUUCAUUAAUGCUGAAUUACGUGCUCAAAAUAGCCAUGUUUAGAUCCGUGCACAACACGGGUACAAACACCAGCAUAUAAUACGAAAGCAGGGUAAAGUAGCCUUAUGUUAUUGCAUCACGAGCGGAAAUACUGUUAGUUCUCACCUUUCAUAUGAAUAAACUUGAUCGAUCCACGUACACAUGCAAAGCUCAUAAAUAAACCAAAUACCUUUCGACCAAAAAAAAAAAACCAAAUACCUUAAUUAUGCCACUUAGUCUUCCAACAUUAUAUUAUUUAAUUUGUUAAUUUGACUAUAAGUUGGUCUAAAUGACAAUAAAACAAAAGCUAAAUUUGCAAUUGAAAUUUUAAUUUGAAUUUUUAAGGUGUAUUAGUCCUAUAAGUGACAAAAUUAAUUCUUAUUUUCCAUUAAUUAUAGAGUGAGAGUAAUCCAACUAUGUAGUGCCGUUUCAAGUUAGCAACUAAGCAAUUAUGUUAAUAACAUAUUUAUACUUUUCUAGAUUAUUAAAAAAAUUGAUAGAUUUCAAGGUGCUUCUUCAAUUACGAUGAUAACAUUACCUGGGUGAUACAAUUAAAACCAAUUUUUUUUUCUAUCUUACAUUUACAUUAUCAUAUUUCAUUUCCGUUGUAAACAUGCGCAAGAAAUUAUAGAAAACAAAUUGUAUAGAUUAUUUAUACAUAUAAAAAUCACUACAUAAGAUCUUAGUACUUCGACUUGAAUAAAUUCUUGAGUCGAAGCCAAUAAUUAUUAGGUGCAAAUAAUUUUACUGAAAUCCUUACACUUUGUUCUUAUUCUUAAUGCCAUAAAGUAGAACCUGCAUAUAUUCGAUGAUGAUGAUCAAUGACGGAGUUCCUGUUAUUUGGUCAAAAAAUAUAAAUUAAUCGGCAUAAACUUAUAAAAAAACUUAUAUGCAUUUUAUAGUAUUUUCCGAUAUUAUCUUACUUAAAUGAUAUUUGAAUAAGUAAAUCUCCAAACCUGGGUAACACUAGGAUCUUCAACUUGCAGGGAAGUAAGAAGCACUGAAGCAGUACAAAACUGCUAGAAAAUGGUGUUAAGACAGCAAAAGAGCAAUAUAGACAGAGCUAAUAAUACCCAAUUUUAAUUCCCCUCUUCAGAGCCUUUUUUAUGCAUCAAGAGAUGAGCUGUGGAAUAGUCACGACUGCAAACUUUUCAUGAACUAAAUGCCAAAAUUGAAUGUAGCUUUGCCCAAGAAAAUGCUAACAACAUGUUGACAGUCAAAGAUGUAGAAUAAAAGAACAACGAGAAUAAUAACAUGAGGGAUUACCGUUAUAGAACAUGGGAGAGGCCAAAAGUAGACAUGAUUGUUACCUUGCUUCGUUGAACUGUUAUGGCUUUCUCGUCCCAUAGUCUGCUACACUUCCAAGGCUUCUUAUUUGCUGGACAGGCAAUAGCUCUACCUAAAUCUCUCAAUUGAUCAUGCAUUCUCAACUCAUUGUUAUCAUCAAUUUUCAUUAACGAAAGUUCAAUCAUUCUUUCCAAUCUGGAAUUUGGGCAAUAUUGGAGAUCCUCCCAUAGGUAGGUGGCAAAUAUUUUGUUAAUUCCAAUAAAAAAAGCAUGCUAUGUCUAGAAACAUUUGUUGUUCCUCGUAUUCUAAUGAAUCGUAACUUAUCCUCAACUUUUGUUGUACAUCCGUAUGAGGCACCUUCCUCAAUUUCACCCGUGUCUCUAUCCGUAUGCUUUGAUCUUUUCCUUUGAGAAAUGAACCUAUAAUCACGAGAGCUAAGGGAAGCCCUCCUGUGGUGGCAACAAUAUCACUAGAAAGAGCCGCGAGUUCUGAUGGAGGUUGUUCACCUUUGAAUGCAUAUCUACUGAAUAGGAGCAAAGAGUAUUUGAGAUUCAUUUCUUCAAGUUCAUACUCUUUAUAUUUAGACUUCAAGAGGGCCUUAUCUCGACAUGUAAUAAUUAUCCAACUUCCCGACUCGAAAGUACAACCUCCAAUCAAAUUGUUAAGAUGGUCUCGAUGAUCCACAUCAUCAAGAAAAAUAAGUACCUUCUUUUUCUCACAAAUACGUUGGAUCGGUUCAAUCCCAGAGAUGUGCUCACUAUGGCCACUUCUUUUUGUUAAAUUUGAUAUAUGUAGAGAUUGGACAUACUUGAUACCUUUGCUUUUAAUUGUUUCUCUAAUAUCAUUGAGAAAGCUACGGCACUCAAAUUGGUUAGAAAGCUUUUUAUAGAUGGUCGUAGCUAGAGUCGUCUUAUCGAUGCUGCCAAUUCCAUAAAUCACAAUAAUUUGAGCUUCAGAAUAAGCAGUAUUGGCUGAUUUCAUGGUUCGACUGUCUGCCAAAUUCAUAACCUUGGCAACAUGAUCAUCAAUACCAACCAAGUCCUUAGGAAGAGGUAGAAAUUCACGUUGAUGCUCGCUCAUUAUUUUUUUAACAAACUUUUUUACUAAUUUCCCUUCAUGCCUGUCAAACAAUAAAACAGGUGAGAACUUAUUAAUGGCUCCACAAAAUAAGGAUUAAGAAUGAUAAAUAGAAAGCUGUUCUUCCGACAAGGAUAUGUUAAAACAAGGUCGAUGACGUACCCAUUAGCAACUUUCUCUGAUUCGAUUACUUUACCAUUGAGUAAUUCUCUGAGAGCUACCAGCCCUUUUCGCUCGACCUCUUUGUCAAGUUUAUGCUCGUUGCGUCGAAACGCAUCUCCAAAGUGCCCCGUCAUGUAUUUUACAUCAUCGGUUGUCACCUUGUAAAACACAGGAUAGACUUUUUGUUUUGUUUUUUUUUUUUUUUUGGUAAAGGGUAAUGAUGACUUUUUGUUUUUUACUUUUCACACACUCCAUUAUUUGGUUGAUCUCGCAGAGGCACCAUUUGCUAGUAGCAUAAUUUUCUGAGAUAACUGGGAUUGAAACUUUAGAGCACUUGAUUGCAUUGAGAAGCGUUUCAAUUGGCUCGCCAGGGUCAAGGUUCUCAUCAUCUCUGAACACGAAAUUUGGAAGGUGCAGGCCCACUCGUACAAGUUCAUGGUAGAGGUGAUCAACGAAGCCUUUUUAAGUAUCAAGACCUCUAAAACUCAAGAAUACGUGGUAAUUGGUUCCAAUCACAUCGGCGUACGAAUCAGAUGGCUCAGAAUUCGCUUCGGACUCUGAUGGCUCAUCGAUCUCCUCUGGUGAGUCCGGAAGGGACGAUCCGCUCCCGCGCUCAUCCGAUGGUCUCUGUCGCUUCGAAAUGGUCGAGCUCGAAGCUUCAGCAUCUCGCUUGCGGUUCCCAUCAUCCAUUGCAGUGCACGCUCGCUCGCUCUCUCUCUCUCUCUCUCUCUCACAGAGACGCGACUACUAUGGAUGGAUUUGAGCGGGGAAUAAUUUUUGGGCUAUCUCUAUGCUACACUUAUAGCGGGGCAGGAAAAGAGGAAGAAGGGAAAGCAGGAGGCAAGCAUGAUUACUCGACUAUUAUGUAUAUUUUAAUCUCUCACAGUACGUCGGUCGUUUCAUGUAUUUCUUACAUUCACACGUGGAAUCUGGAGAUAACUUCAAAUUUGACUAAAAGCAACUCAGUCCUUGCCUCCUUGGGGUCCUCACUACCAUUGGCCUUGACAACCUUCCCCAUUGUUCCCAUUGGCUCUCAGGAGUCUCCAUUUUGUCGCGGAUUGAGAAUUGCGCUCGAAUGGAUCCUCCAACUCAUGAAUUAUGUCCCGAAUUGGACGUUACACUCCAUAUACGCGCCUCUUCCAAUAUUGUUAGGAUUUCGUCAGUGACCGCAGUAAGGUACUUGCUAAGCAAUCAAUCGAGAGAAAUUUAUAUUUUUCGUUAACUGUUCAUAUGUAAUGCAGAAUUUUAUUUGGUUAUCGCAGUAUUUAUACUCUCGUGUUAAAUGGAUAUGGAUGCAACAUGCUCUUAUGGGAGUGAGAUUUUUACUUUAGUGAAUGAACUUUCAUCACUCCUGAGCCUUCUAAAAAAAUAAGAUAAAAUGGGCCUUUUAUAUAAUUGACACGGAAUAAAAUUAAAUUUCUUCAACCCGCCAUUGAAUAAAAUCAGUUCCUUGCAUUAUCACAUGAAAGAUAGUGAAAGAUACAUCGAUCAGUACUUAUUAUUUGGACAAAUUUGAGUAGCACGUUGCGGUUCUAUGUCAAUUUACAGGAUUUUUCCUUUCUUUUUUCUUUUUAACAUUUGUAUUCUCUAUUUAAUGGAUAAUUUAUUAUAUAAAAAAGGUAUGAUUUACCCUCACCCCUUUUAAGGAUUUUCAUCUAGAAUUUAUUAAAUGCAUCUCGAACUAUGGAUUCAAAAUCAAACUCGGGCUCCGUAUCCACUUCCAUUUUUGUUCAUGAUCUGAUUAGUUUUAAGUGAAUUAAAACGCGAGAGAACAAAAGGAUAGAGGGGGUAAACAUCAAUUCUUCUUUUCCCCGAAACCGUACCCACGACGAAUCCCACCCCCACUGCGACGUAUUCGAGGGACCAUCCUAGUAUUUUUUUUUUUUUCGAUUUUCCGAAUUUUCUCUGGGCCAGAACAGAAAUUUCGGGAGCGGAACUAUGCAGUCACAAAUCACGCAUGACUUGUGCGGCAUGACUUGUGCGGCAUGAGUAAGAGUCUGACGUCAGAGUUCGUUUCGCAUUUUGAUUAACGAAAUGGUUUAUGUACCAAAGGUAUUUAAUUUUUUGUUGGACUAAAAAAAGAACAAAAAUCCGUUUGGUAACUUUUUAAUUCCUGAUAAUAGAUUUAAAACAAAAUCAAGAAAUUGAAAAAAAGUUACUUCUUUAUUCCUAGGAAUAACUCCAAAAUCAAGCCAAAUCAUUUUUUUUUCUCUUUUUCUUCAUUUAGCCGGUUGCAAAAAUAUAAUAAAAUUAUAUAAUAAAAUAUUAAAAAAUUAAAGAAAAAUUGAAAAAUAUAAUAAAAUUAUAACAUAAAAUUAUAUUAAAAAUAUGAUAAAAUUACAUAAUACAAGUAUUAAAAUAUUAAAAAAUUCAAAUUCAUAAAAAAUUUAAAGGUUGUAUUAAAUGCAUUUCUAUUCCUAGUAUAGAAUUUUUUAGCAGUUAUGAAAUGCAUUCAAAUGCUUAGAAAAUCAUCUAGGGAAUAGAAUAAAAAAGAAUCAUCUAUGAGUAGAAAUUAUUAUUUAAGAAAAGAAUGGUUACCAAAUACACCCUAAAACUCCCACAUAUCGGUAUCCUUAGUUUGAACUAAGAAGUUCCAUUUGUUACCGAAUCCUUUCGGAUGUUAAUAAUUAAAUAGUGAACACGUCAAAAAAAUGUCAUGAAGGCACCGAUCAAGCAUACUUAAUUUGGAAUGAUUUCAUAUUACUGAUGCUGCAUGACACAUGAACAGUUGACGGGAAAUGUAAUUUCCCUCGUCUGAUUGCUUAGCAAAUACUGUGAAUGCGGUCGCUGACCGAAUCCCGACAAAAUUGGGGGAGGCACGUAUAUUUAUUAUGAAAUAACUACCAUGAACUGAUGCAAUUGAUGUCAUUAGAUAAAAUAAAGUGGGUAAUUGACCUGGACUUAGUCGUUGCCUUCUAGGCAUCAUACGGUGAAUGGGAGUCAACAGACAUGAGCAGAUUUUAUUCUUAAAUAUACACCACCAAUUUCGUUAGCCCGUGCUACAGAUGGAGGAUCGUUUAUGGUUUGAAUUGUGUUAGUCUUUUUUGGCCACAAAUUUAAUAUGAUAUCCAAAAAAGGACACAGAUGAAAGAAAGAAAAGGACGUGGUAGCUAUAUUGCCGCUUCAAUUACAUUACCAAUAUACUGGCCUAUGGACUUGUGCUAUACACAGGAAAAAGACCCUGUGAAAUAGAUUGCGUGAAAUAAUUGUUCUAGGAGUCUUGAUCAUUAUGAGAGUGAGAGAUUUUCGUCACAUUAGAAGUAAUUACAUGCCCCAUGAACUAAAAGGGAAAAAUUUUAGGUUCAAUGAAGGUGGAAAAAUGAAAGGGAAAUCUUUACAGAAGAAAGUUAAGAUAAAUAUCAAUCAAGAGAGGGCCGAGGACGCAUUGACGACUAUUCGACUCCAGAGAAGCCUGAUUGCACCAAUCGAUUCGUUCUGAUAACUAUGUUGCUCCCACUACUUUGCAGCUCUUGCUCAUUUGAUUCUUGAUUGGAACAUCCUUAGUUUGGCGAUAUUCAUUCUGCUCCUGCUCUCCAUCGCAAAUUUCAGCACCAAAAUUUGCUCCACUUUCUCAGUUGAAGAACGCAACAAGUUUAGGGUUUGAAGAAGAAAAUAAAUUUAGCCCCAGUUCAUUAAUUGGUGGGCAAAUAACACACAUGGACAACAUAUUUCAGUACUAUUGUUGCUGAUUCACUUUAUCGGCAAGCCACGUCCAACAAUUUAUAAUAAAAUAAUAUUACGUCGGAUUUUUCAGCUACACGAAUUGCCAACUAAAGCAAUCAAUCUUUCAUGUGAAUGAUACUCAAGUAAUUGAGAAAAUAAUUAUGUUAUUAAAGUGAGUGUCAUUAGAAAAUUAAGAUAAUCAUAGUAUUCUUAUUUCAAUUUGCAAUUGAAGGUAUUGAGCAUUUACAACUUCAAAGGAAUUUUUUUGACCAAAAAGGAACAACUUUUUUUUUUUUUUUUUAUUCCAUGAUCAAUCGACCUAUAAAGUAUAAACAGGUGAGGAGACGCAUCUCGUAAUCUCGCGGACUCAGAUUGUUCUUUGCGGGCUCCUUGUUUUUCCUUGAAAUUUCCCCGCUAUUUUUUUUCCUUUUUCUUUUUUUGGACUUCUAUGGCUUUCUCUGACAUUGACAAGGGAAGAUGCAAAUCCUAAGUGCGUUCCCAGUCGCUCGAUAUAUGCAUUAUGUACAUCGGCGACAAAGACAUCCCACCGAUCUGAUUUUCGGGUGGCCUUAUCGACAUCUUCGUGAAGAAUCCACCUACUUGAGUUUUAAAAAUAAUAAUAAUAAAUUUUAAACAAGAAAAGAAAACAGAAAAAGGGAGGAUGCAUAUACAAAUAUUAUUGAUUGAUAAUCUUCAGUGGAGCAAGCGACAAAAUUACAUAUCAUAAACAAAAUUGAUCUAGCUGUACAGAAGUAAGUGCGUGCCGAUAAUUGGCUAAUGUGACGCCGAUAAUACCGGUGAUUAUGUCACGCGUAAGAUCGACGACAGGCCAUAUGUUUAGCCUUGGUUCGAGAGUCACCUCGUGGUGCGUCAAAAGACAGCCGAUUGUGUCGUUGUCGACAACUGAAGCCGAGCAUCGAGCUGUAUCCGUGGCAGCUCAAAAGCACCCCUGGUUAGCGCAAUUGCUGAAGGAUUUGCAGUAGAAAAUUAAUGAGUGCCUCGUGAGACUAUACAAUGACGAUCGAUUGGCGAUUCGACUAAUAGAGAACUGAGUGAUUCAUAUGAGAACGAAGUACAUGGAAGUCCACUGUCACUUUGUGGGUGAGAAAGUAGUGGGUGGAGAGAUUGAAAUGAAGUUCACCAAAACAAAUUAACAAGUUGAAGAUAAUUUCAUGGAGGGACAUAUCAAGAUCCAAGCUGGCAGAAUUUCAAAAUAGUUGGGCAUCACAAACAAGCUGCAUUAGAAAUCAUAGAUUGAUACUCGCGCUGGUGUCACCUGGGAGGCACGAAAUGAAGUUUUCAUCGGCCAAAAUAGAGAGUAGAAAAAGCACGGUAUCAAAUAGUAUAAGCAGCUUUUGACAGAUUUUGAAACAGGAUCUGUUUAUAGUUGCUGUUUCAAAGCUUCAUUCGCUAUGAGUUAAGCCAAUUUUGGAAAGUCCCAGUUACUCCAAUGUGAAUAUCUGGAUCCCGAAGUGGUUUGCGCGAAGUAGUGUGUUCUGCCAAUCUUUGCCUUCCUCUGCUAAUAACCGCUACCUACAAAAGGCAUCCUUCCAAGGUCCCUAGGCAACGGAAAUGGAACGGGAUUCGACGAGCAUGUUAGCUGUUUGAUUAAGAGAGGAAGUUGUGCACUUUCAGAUGCAUUCUAUAAGCUACUUGCUUAGGUGGUCCAGUUAGGAACAUUCUGGGAAAACUACAAUCCUUCGGUAAGAAUAAGUUCCUUCAAAGUCUCUAGCACUAGAGAAAAAUUUUCAUAAAAAGUUACUGAUGAUGGGAGCCUAGAUGACUGGCACUCAUUCUCAUAUACAAAUGUUAUUCUACUAGCUAUAGAAAGAUCCCUUGUUAAUACGAGCCUAUUGACAAAAACCAUGCUUUCAUUGGUAAAAUUACUAAACAUUAGUAUCCCCAAAGGAAUGGGCAUUUGAGGAAAAUCAUCAUCUUGCACGUACUUUAUUUAAAUGAUAAUCAUUCAAAGUUAUGCCUUUCAAGGGGUAAAAUUGAAAUGAUUCUUUUAUGGCUGUCUUCCAAUCUUUUAUGUAUGUCAUUCACACGUUAAAUCUGGUCUGAUCUUAUUUUAAUGUGCUCGGAAAAGAAGGAAAUGAAUUUUCUCAGUUCGUUUAGACAAAAGGCAAAAUUAGGUGGGUUUCAUGCACUAUAUUCAAAAUUAACGCAACUUGGUCGGCAAGUUGGCAAGAAAUUUUAAAGUUGGUUCUCAUCAUAUUUUAAUAACGAUGAUGAAGACAAACUGCAGAGUUGGCAAGAAAAGGACCUGCGCAGCGAUAUCAAAUUGACUUUAAUCUGCUUUUUAUUCAGCUAAAGUUGCAUCAAAUUGACUUUAAUCUACUUUUAUCCCGCUAAAGUUACAUCAAAUUGACGUCCAUUAAUAUUUUAUCCAGCUAAAGUUACAAGUUUCAUCAAACUGACACCUAUUAAUUUGUUUAUUCCAAAGAGCAGGUACUAAAAGUUACGUGUGACCCAUUGAAGUCUUUGUUUGAUGUUUUCUUUUGAGCAAACUUCCAGCUGUCGUUCGGUGGCCAUUAAAUAAUUACCAAAAGAAAGAACUGUAUCUUCCUGGAUUUUUUUCUUUUUUGGUAAAUUGGGAUUUCGGAUCUUCAUCAUUUGUGCUUUUGUUGACUGAUUUGAUCAGUCACAAUUGUAUCCAUGAAAUCCAGGUGAGCACUCGGCACAAGCGGUAGCAGCUAGGGGUUUGCAUGGUCCGAUAGGCGGUUUCCAACCUAGAAUCGGGAACCUCCCGCUAAAGAACAGUUCCAAAAAAUUGGAAUCGGAAAUCGUCCGCUAGUUAUAUGGAUCCAUCCGAGAACCGGACCGCCGAUCUGAUUUGGUUUCCAAGUGGAUCUAUGAAACCGGCCUCACCAACAAUAAUAUCUUUUUCCAAAUCUUGCCGAGAGUACUUUUCAUAUCGAGUUAUAUUUUUCUUUAACUCGAACCGACUUAAUUAAAGGUACCAUUUUUCUUUAUUUUAUUGGAAAAUACUACCAAAUAAGAGAAAUAGGCUUUUUCCUAUUUUUGAAUCAUUUCAAUCAAAAUCUAAAAUAUUUUUUAAGUUCAAAGUUUUGGAUAAUUGUCAUUUGUAAAUAGUCUUUUCCUUUAUCCCCUAACAAUGUUCAAUCUCUUACAACAUUUGCUUUACUGAAUUAUUUUGGUAGAAACAAUUUCACCGGUACUCCACAUAUUCUUAAAUACAUUGUCCUAUGUGUGUCCUGAAAAUAUCAUUUGAAGGAGCCAUUUGUUGAGUUGCUGAAAGGCAGCUUAUACACUUUACUAAAUUCUUAUAAAAACAUGGAAACCAUGAGAGGAGAUGGAGUCCUAAAAUUUAGAUUUGCUAAUUAGUAAUUUUGAAAUUUAUUUUAAUAUUAAAAAUUAAUAUAUUAUUAUAAUAUAAUCGAUCUGGUCCAAGUGGAUGGAUUUGCCUAUGGAACUGGAAACCGGAACGGUAUCCACCGGUGUCCAUUAAUUGGAACCGAGAACUGGACUAGUUCCCUCAAGAACCACGAGUUCCAAGCGGUUCCGAUUUGGUUCCGAGCAGUCCGAGCAAGUCCCGAUUAUUUUGCACACCCCUAAUAGCAACAUCAUUUCCUUUUUGAAAUCUCUCCUCUCGCAAAUCUCGCCUUAAAUUCUUCAAUUCAAUAUCUUUUUUAUUUUGUGAAAUAUUACCUCAAAUUGAUUAAGAAAAUAAAGUAUUGCUCUGAUUGAUUGAUGAAGUGACUAUUAUGUCUAAUUAGAUAUAACUUAGUAAUUUAUGUUUGGGAGUAAGUUAAGUUAGGUGAACCUUGCAUUUAGUCAAAACAAUAGUAAGAUUUUCUUGAAAAUAAUGGAUGCAUAUGGCGUAUAAAAAAGGGACAAUUUCACCAUUGGUCACCAAUAUUCUUGAUGAAAGUUCAAUUUGAUGGCUGAAACUUUAAUUUUGUUUAAUUUCGCUAUUUAUUCUUUGAAUUAGAUCAAUUUAAUUCCUCUAAUCAACUUAAUCAUGUUGGCCCCUAAUGUGAUAAUUCAUCUCCAUCGUGAGACCUGCCAUCGCUAGCCUGAUUGGGCUAUCUAGAGCCACAUCAGCAAAAUCUAGAAACCAAAUGGGGAGAGAAUUGGGGGAGGGAGGGAUAAGUAGGCGAUGGGAGAUGGGCAAUGGUGCUCGAUUCCUAAUUUUAAAGCAAUAUAGAUAUUGGAGUAAGUUGAUCUCAAAAUUUUUCGAGUAUGUGGGUGAAGAAGUGAGUUAAUUACUUUUAGUUAAAAUAAAGUGAUAAAGUUUGAAAGAAGAAAAUAAAAUCUUAAUGGAUUUGUUUAUCCAUAAGCUUAUGGCAGGUAAUAUGGUACGAGUACAUGAAUUUCUUUCAAGUCAAUUGAUGUCUCGGGUAUAUGCUCAUGUUGACUUCCAUUAAUAUUUUAUCAAGCUGAAGUUACAAGUUUCAUCAAAUCGACACAUCAAAUUUUUUUAUUCCAGAGAGUAGGUGGUGAAGUUACGUACGACCGACUGGGGUCUUUGUUUAAUAUUUUCUUUUGGGCUAACUUGCAAGAGUAACUCCUCAUCAUAUAUAUUAAUCGCAACGGUGAAGAAAAACUGUAGAGUUGGCACAAAAAGGACUUCCUAGCGUCAUCAAAUUAACGUCCAUUAAUUUUAUAUCCUAAAGAGUAGGUACUGAAGUAAUGUAUGACCAUGACCAAUUGGAGUAUUCCUUUAGUGUUUUCUUUUGGGCUAACUUCCAUGAGUAGGUUCUUAUCUCGUAUAUUAAUCACGACAACGAAGAAAAAUUGCAGAGUUGGCACGAAAAGGACUUCCCGGCGACAUCAAAUUGACGUCCAUCAAUUUUAUACCC